RNAcentral lists this long non-coding RNA (48916 nucleotides) under Malus domestica (apple). RNAcentral's name for it is "long non-coding RNA (MDOM_LNC011071)". Lineage: Eukaryota; Viridiplantae; Streptophyta; Magnoliopsida; Rosales; Rosaceae. The record is from RNAcentral.
CCACUUCAAACUCAAACAAAUUCAUCAAAAAAAUUGCAAAAAAAUACCCAAAUAGGAUUCAAAUUUAAAAUGUUACCUACCCAAGAUCGAGGCAUUUACAAAUUAAACAGUAUACCAAAUGGGCCAGAAGCACCCCAAUUGACUGAAACACCCAGAAUCAAAUAGCAUGGAAACUAUCUGCCUUAGGGUUUCAAGAAAAAUGGGGAAAAAGUGCUCCAAAACCCAAAAGGAAAACAGAGCAAUGCCUCAGAAAACCCAGGUGGGAGGAGAGGAGGGUUUCAGAAGGAAAACCCUAAAGAGACCCUCCCCGAUGGAGUUUUUCACUAUUGCGCAGCUAUGACUCAAAACGCUUCCAUGGGUAAAAAGGGAAGGCGAUCUUAAGGGCCACGCUUAACAAGAACAAAUAGAAAUUGCAGAACAAGCAUUUAGACUAAAAGUUGCGGAAUUUGAAUGGAAGAAAAACCAGAAAACCCUAAUGCCCGAGGAAUAAGAGGAGGCAGAUGGAGAGCAGAAGGUGGGAAUAUAUAGGGGAUGCGGUGUGUGUUGGUUGGGCUUUUUGGUUGUGAGUAGCAGAAGACCCAAAGACUUGGAAUUUGCGUGAGGCCCAAAAUGUUAUAAUUUCAACUUUUGUUGGGAUGAGAUGUUAGAGAUUUUGGGCCAAACAAGUUUAGAAUUUCAUUUGAAGUCGGUGGUGCCAGCCCAAUUAUCAUCAAUAGCUUAAAGAAUAAUAUGAAUGUUAGGCACUUCAACGAGAAAUUUAUUAGCGUGCCUAAAACACGGUCUAGUACAUCAAAUCUUAAUACAAGUGGUUGAAUAUUUGAAAAAAAAUUUCAACUACUUGUAUUAUGAUACUGCUGUACCGGACUGUGUUCCCAGCAUACUAAAGAGUCUCUCCACUUCAACAUACUAAAGUAUACGGCUAAGGAGAUUGUCAAUAACGGUUUCCUAAUUUUAUUUUAAGCAAAACUCUUAACAAAGUAAUCCGCCACUUAGUACUACGGUCUAAUGAUAUUCCUCUUUCACUUGUGAGUGAGAGGUCUUAGGUUUGAUUCUCACAAAAGGCAAAUUUGAACCACAUUAUUGCUAACCCAUUGUAAGACUAAACCCACCCCCUCUCCUUAUUGUAAAUAAUAUCGUUUGUAAUAAAAAAAAAAUGCGAGUUUAAACUAGCUAGCAUUCAAUCAGAUAAAAAAAAAGUAUUUAUCAAAUAUAUCCAAAUAUUAGUCUCUAAUUUCAAAAAUGUCUGUUUUUAUAAAAACUUUCAAAUAUAUCCAAAAUAUCACUUAAAUAGACACAAAUACCCUUAAGUUUUAAACCUAAUAAAUUAAAAAACCAAAUGUCACAUCCCGGGUUCAACUCCGUCGUAGCACAAUAUUGUCCGCUUUAGGCCCUGACCACGCCCUCACGGUUUUGUUUCUGGGAACUCACACGAGAACUUCUCAGUGGGUCACCCAUCAUGGGAUUGCUCUCACGCGAACUUGCUUAACUUCGGAGUUCCGAUGGAACCCUAAGCCAAUGAGCUCCCAAAAGGCCUCGAAUAAAUUUGAAGUUCCCAGAAAUUGUUUUAAAUGAAAUGUGAUUGAAAUGUCAUGCCAUACUUGCGUUAUAUCUUAGAAUAUGCAUUUAGUAGUUGUGUAUGUUAUUGUUUGAUGCGGCAGACGCUCAGCUAAGUUCCAGGUGAGUAUAUGUAUUGAUGAUUGUGUUGCAUUGUAAUGGUUAUACUUAGAGGCAGUUAGAGUUCAUUAUCCUGCACCCCAGUGUUACUGCUCCUGCCCGUGGUCAGGACACAGUCCUUCACGUGAUGUUCACCUCCCGCACCGCACGCUCACCUUGGAUCCAAGUUUGGUGCAUAGCCAUGUCGUACAUACCAGGUGAAAUAGCUUAGUUGUUUACUCUAAGUCUGCCAACAAUAGCCAAAAUUUAACACUCACUUUCAUAAAUUUCACUUUUUAUAAAAUCUUUCAAAUAUAACAGAAAAUUCACAUGAAUAAACCUAAAUGCCCUCAAAAUCCAAAACUCAUUUACACAGAAAAACCAAAACAAUUGAAUAGAUCUCAUCUACAUCUUUGUUUGAGAAACUAUCAUCCCCUAUGAUGACCGGAUACUUUACUUUGGUUGCAUAUCCCGUAUCCGAUACUUUUCGGAAAUGAUACUUGCUGGAUACUCUCAGAUACUUGUUGGAUACAUCAUGGUUAAUGGAUACACUUUGACUGGACGGAUACACGUAUCCCACAUUUGGGAUACAAGUAUCAUGCUUUUAGAAUCCUUUUACACGUUCAAAUAAAAAAUUGGAAAGAAAAAAUUAAUAAGAGACAAAUCUUUAUUUGAAAUCAGUGAAUAUGAAUUAUGAAGAGCAACCUCCAAUUGAAACUAUGAAUACAACUGUCAUCCUUCUUUUAUAUGUACUAGGGGAAUUAGAUUUCCAACUUUUCUUCUCCAAUAAAUCAAAUGAACUUGAAUUUGAAUGAUCUUGUGUUAUCAAAAUAUGUUCUAAAUUAUAUUUUUGUCUUUGUUUAUUAUUAUAUAAGUUUAAUUGCCGUAUCUAUUGUGUAUCGUAUCCUACUUUUUAGAGAUUUUUUGUAUCACCGUGUCGUGUCGUGUCGUGUCGUAUCGUAUCGUAUCACCGUAUCUGUGUCCGUGUUUUACAGAUCAUCCCCAAAUUUCAACCUCUUUUUGAUGUUGAGUUGGGCAAUAAUUUGGGGAGCUAGGAACUCAAUGUUUUGAAAUGGAAAGAUGGAAGCCCCGAACAUCCUUGUAUCCUGUACCACCUCCCUAUGGUUUGGUUUUGUCCACAGCAACUCAAACUCCUCCAAGCCUAGACCCUUUACUCUUUUGUUUUGUCUCAGCUUUGGACUCUGAAUUUUCAUUGGCAUAAGAAUUUUUGUCGAUAAUACUACUACGGUCCUGACAUUUUUGCUCGCGUUGUUUCUUGUACUCCUCUUUUAAGUCUUUCUUUUCUUCUCUUCUUGGUGACAUGGAGUUUCUCAAUUCUGAUCUAAUAAGAUGUUGUCUCUUAUGUUUAUUUGGUUUUAAUUAUAAGGGUAUUUAUGUCUAUUUAAGUGGUUUUUCUGCUAUAUUUGAAAGAAUUUAUAAAAAAUGACAUUUAUGAAAUUGAGUGUUAAAUUUUAUCUAUUAUUGAUCAAUUCUCCAAUUUUUUCCCUUAAUGUAAGACUGCCGACAAUAGCUUAGUUGUUUGACUUGAAAUUAUCUGACUGAGAUGUUCAAUUCCACACUUGUUUUACUAAUUAUUAUAUAUGACUAAUUAACCUAAUUAGAAAUAUUAUUUUUGAGUUGAUUAAGGAAAAGGGCGAAUGUCCUCGAAAUUUCCCAAGUAAUUAACAAAUUAAAAUAGAACGAAUUAAAUUAAGGUCAACAUUCUGUUAUGUAGAGGUCAAUCGUGCGAUUAAUUUUUCAUUUCCCGUGUCGUAUUCCUAAUGAUGCAGUCCUCACAUCAAUUUAGUCAGAAAGUAAACGAUGACCAAUUUUUUUAGCUGCAACAACUGAUCACCAAGUCUGUUUAUUUUAUUUUAUUUUUUAUUUUGAACAAAAAGACAUAACUGAUGAUCAAGUCUUGAAAAUAAAAAAAGAAAAAAAUUCGAAAUAAAACAGAAGUGUACGUAGUAUUAUCGAUAUAUUUAAUUUUUGAUCGUCGGAUCGAAUGAAUUGAAGAAGAUUAAUGACAAAAAUUAAUAAAGACGUGUAGAAACUAAAAAUAAGUGUGAAUGUAGCACUAUUUAAACAGAAAUGCAUGCAUGCAUGCAUUGUCCUAUAUGAAUUUUCCAGGGUUGGGAGUGUUGAUAUUUGACGUCAGGGCAUUCACAUAACUUGAAUUUCUAAACGCGUUCUUCACAUGUUUGGAUGACUGGGUCGUUUGACACAUAAAAUAGGUUAUUAGUCCCUCAAGGGAGAGUAUGUAAUAAUUCAAAACUGAUAAAUAAUAAUAAGUGAGGCUUAUAAUAUCAUAAAUUGUGUGAUACUGUAAAAAUGCCACCCUAAGUUAUACAGUUGAAAUCAAACCAAUUUUUAUACAGUUGAAAUCAAACUAAUUUUAUAACUUUAUAGCUCGUUCAGAAGUAUUUUUAAAACAACUGAAAUCACUUUUAGACAAAAUAUUUUUUGAGUUGUAAAAGUACUUAAAAUGCUUAUUACAUCACCAAAAAUGCUUUGGUCAUUUUAAAAGCAUUUCCAAACGAGCCCUUAGGGAUGUUAUUACUUAAUAAAUGUGUAGUUAAAAAUAUUAUUCCUUGACCUAUUUAUCCGUAAGAAUAUUGUUCCUAAAUACGAUUUCUUGAGCGCCAAAUAUUUUAUUUCUUGCAUAUUUUUGUACUCACUGACAAUCAUAAAUAUGUGGAGGUGUGUUUCCUUAAGAUGAGAUCAAGAAAAAUUAUAAUUUAUUAUGGAGUUUAUUUCAAUACAUAAUUGGUCCCAAGUUGAAACCAAAAUUUUUUAUGACUUGAAAAUUAUUCCAUUAUAGAGUAUUACUUUAGAGAGGUUUUACUAUAUAACUAAUUAGUGAAUUAAUCAUGCAUGGCCUCGUGCUAUUAGUAAAGAAAUUAUUUAUUUAUAGGUAGUAAUUUAUUUUUGUCAAAUUCAUCUAAGAAGCACGUAGACAAUUAGGCUGAGGUACGGGUAUUUCGCUCUCUUUAAGGAGAUUCAAGCCCACUGCGGUUUGACAAAAGUUCACGAAUCGGUGUAGCAGUAUAUCUCUUGACUUGCCCCGUCCAGGAUACAAAUAAAGAAGAGUCCAAAGCUCCACCACAAGAAUACCCUUCUUUGGCCAAUAUGUAAAAGAUAGAAAGUAUGGAGGAAUAAAGAAUGUAGUUGUGAGGAAAUUGGUAGUGGGAUCAUAAAUAAAAAGAUAAUGGGAAAAAUGCUAAUAAUUAUAUGUUUAUUAUUAAAUUAACAAAGAAAAAAUGUUACAAGAGUUACAAAAGUUGAAAGGCUAAAGAUUCGGAAAGGGAUCAUCUUCGGAUUCCUUCCACCAAAUCCACCAAAUCAUCCAAUCUAGGUCAUUGAAAUUUGAUCAAAUAGCUAAAUGUAUAUUAACUUUUAAAUGGGCCUCAUGUGUUUAGUCGUUUGAUCAAAUUUGAAGGGUCAAGAUUUGUUGACUGGAUGGAUUUGGUGGAAGUGAUUCGGAGAGGAUUCAUUUCCUAAAGAUUCCAUCUUAAUUUCCCACUAACCACGAAUAAUGACAAAUAAACUUACUUUUCCACUAACAACCAAACAAUAACAAUUAUAAUUAAUUUAAUAUUAAAAAUGAACCAACAUAAUGUUUAUAAAACAUAAAUCUAAUUUACACACACACACAUCAUCCAUGCGCUAAUUUUCUCCACAAAUGAAUGAAAUUAAGUAUUUGUCCUUGAAUUCCAGAAGUUCAUAAAAUAGCACAUAUCUAAAAUUGAAAAUUGAAACAUAUCGAUAUCAAGUCGUGUGGAAGCUAAACAAAAUCAACUUGCAGAUUUACAGCAUAAUUACAUAACUCUCUUUUUCAAGACAUUUGAGCGUGGUCUAUGUCCAGUACAAAUCUAAUCUAAUAUGAUCCCUUUGAAUUUUUUAAUUUCCUAUUUUCACAAUUCGCUCUUUCGUUGCUUUCCGGGGCCCAUUUAAGUGAUGUGUGCGGUACAAACUAUCAAUCAGGUAGGCUCGGAACUAUUCAUUCCCUUCUUCGAAUAUGUCAUUGCGCGUGAACUGAUAUCUGCAUUUUGCAGCCUUAAAUUGCAGACAAGGAAAGAAGAUAUAUAUGACAUCAUAAGUUUUUGUUGACUUCUUUUGUUGACUACUUUGUGACUCAUGCAUUGACUAAUUGCAAAUAUAAAGAGUCUGUUGUUUCUCAGAAACCAAACUACGUAUCUAUCGCCUAAACAUGCAAUCAUAUGGGGCCACGAGUAUUUAAAAUUGGCAUUUUCUUCAGAUCCCGCGUUUCUUCUCUUAGAGAGACUUUCCAAUGUGCCAUCGGAACAUGGGCAUGUAAUUUAUUUAUCAUUAUACAAGUGAAUGAACACUUGAAUAAAAGAAUUUUUCUCCACUUGUAUAAUGACGUAUUGCAUUGUAUAUCAGACACAUUGAACCACAUUAUUGAUAGCUCAUUGUGAGGUUUAGCUCACUCCCUCACCCCUUUAGUGUAGAUAAUAUCAUUUGUUCAAAAAAAAAAAACAUGAUAGAGAGAGAAAAGAAGAUUGUGAAAAUGACUUCAAUAUUAAUUAGGGUUAAGUCAAUCAAUAUUUUAUGCUCUUAAGGAGAUGUAAAUAAAGACCCUAACAAAAAGAAGAUGUUAAUAAAGAGAAAUAUUAGAAAGGGAUACUGACUUUAGUUGGAGAGAAAAUCUGUUUUUAUUACCUUAGUUGAAGAGAAUAAUUGUUUCAGUUGACCUACACUAGAAAGUGAAAAUCUAUCAAUUUAUACUGAAGUAUGAGAUUAUUUAUUGAUCAAGCUAAACCAAAUUCCUUCUCUUUUUUACUUUAUAGAAGGUCGCGAGUUAAUUAGCAUUGCCAUAGAUAUAACAUGAUUAAAGAACAUCUUUAAAAUACAUAUAGAUUAUUUAUUCGUAAUUUCGUAUGUGUAAUAAAUAUAAAAUACUAAAAAAUCAUCUUUUUAAAUCACAAUUAUAAACCACUUUAUGUGGCAUGUCUCGUUAUCAUUGCUUCACUUAUCAAUUCAUGUGAGGUCGUUAUAUAUUAAACUUAAUCUGCCUAGCUAGCCACAUUUGUAAUAUUAGGCAGAAAUAUACAUCUUCACGUAUUUGCAUGUCAUGACUAAAACUUGUUGCCCAAAGUCGGCAGAGGAAGGAGUGGGGACCUGAUGGCGCCACUCGCUACUGUAAGGAAAGCAGCCCUUCGUUUCUUUUGUCAGAUCGUUAGGGAAAGCAGCCCUUCGUAUCUUUUCCCAGUUCGAAGCUUCGUAUCUUCCAAACAUUUCUAUAUGCGCGUUUCUUUAUUUUCUUCCGAGGUCAAAUUUGGAAAUGCUUCUGCGUUGUUGUGGUCUUAAUUUUUCAUUUUUAUGAUAUUUCGAUUGUUUGAAUGACUGAAAGACAAUAUUGGAGAAACAAACUAACAAAGGGUUCAUGGAAAAUAUUUUUCUUCCCUUUCCCUCUUUUGGUAAAGGAGGAAAAAGGGUUAGUUCGGUUGUUUAAACACAGAGGAAUGAAAAAUGUUGGGUUCCACAUUAGGUAUAUAACAAAGUAAUGUGCAAUUAGUACAUGAAAGAUUUUACUCCUAAUAUCAUCGAGACACUUUGUGAUAUAAAUCUAACACCUGAUAAUAGGUGGUUAAGUUGGAAAAAUGCCCGUGAUAUUAGUGGUGGAUCAUGAUGGACCUAAAAUGUUUAUCAAGAAAUUGGGAGAAGUUAGUGUGUGUUUUCUUUCUCAUUAACUUAAUUAUAUAUUAGAGCUACUUGGAGACUCGGAGACUAAGCAAGUUAUUACAUAAUAAUCCUAAGAGGACAACCACAUGAUUAAUAAUAAUAUCUACAAAUAAAUGUAAAGGAUCAAGGAAGAAGCUAGUUGGUAUGUUUUGUUGGAAUGUAAACAGAAGAAGAUUUACUCCGAGUAACAAGUAAAACCAUGCCAUGUAUGAACUAUUGGACAGUUAAGUUUUGUCCAUGUUCUGAAGACAUUUCAGCGUGGUCUCCAAGAAACACUAAAGUUUUAAUCUAUUGCGCGUGAAAUCGUAUGUGAUUGCCACGGUAGUCCUUCUCAUAAACCGAACAUAUUUUUUUUUAAUCUAAAGUUUUAAUCAUGACUAAUUGACUUUAGUCCUUCUCAUAAACCGAACAUAUUUUUUUUUUUUUUGAAAGGAUAAACCGAACAUAUUUUUAUACAAUCUCUCUAACCUUCUUUUACGAUUGAAAAUUCAAACUCAGACUCGAUCAAAUAUUUGGGGGGCCACGCGUCAAUUGGUUUCAUCUUAAGCAUGCGCCCGAAUCUUUUCGAUAGAUUUUGUAAUGUCGGUGAGGUAGCCGAAUAUCGAUUUAUUCAUUAUGUUUGUUUAUUUGCCUUAUACUGUUAGUGUCACCGAAUAAAAUGUACUCAUGUUACACUCAUUGAAACGAACGGUUUACUCAUUAUGUUUGUUUAAUUGCCUUCAAAUCAAGAUACCAUUUAUGUCACCGAAUAAAAUAUAGGAACCGGAUCCUCUUCGGAUCCUAUGGAACUGAGCCCAAGGAUCAAAUGAUCCAGGCCAUUGAAAUUUGAUUUAAAUGUUACAAUUAUUAUAACUUUUAGAGGGACCUCCUGUUUAUAACCGUUGAAUCAAAUUUCAAUGGUCCGGAUCAUUUAAUCAUUAGGCUUAAAUUUUUUGGGUCCGAAAGGGAUCCGGUUCCUAAAAUAUACUCAUAUUGCACUCAUUGAAAUGAGCAGUUUACUCAUUAUGUUUGUUUAAUUGCCUUCAAAUCAAGAUACCGUAUAUGUUACCGAAUAAAAUAUACUCAUAUUGCACUUAUUGAUCAGUAAAAAAUAUUUGUCGCUUCUUGGUAAUAAAAAAUUCCUCGUUGCUUUUGUUGCCUAAAUAACUAACGAAUUAAUUUAUUACAAUUUAUUUGUUAAGAAUUGAUAGGCAGUGGCACUACUGUCAUGCAAUUGAUCAGCACAACUAGGCCUAGCUUUUCGAAGCAGUCCAUAUGCAACUUCCUUUACUUUAUAUGAUAAAUAAUGCAUGCAGAUCGGGAAAUUGAAAUUUCAUUAAAAGUUAUUUGUGUAUAAAGAGAGUAAUUUAACCCUUUAUUAAUUUUUAUAAAGUUUCUUGGAUAAUUCUUUACAUUCUCACACGCCACCUUAUAUGUGAUAACGUUCAUGCCAAACAUCCGUACAACAUAUAUUGGAUAACAUGAAGUGAAACACAUAUGCUUGUUGAACUUCACACGUAAACUAACCUGUUAUGUUACAAUCACUGUUUUAUGUUACACUCUAAAACUAAUUUGACAAUGAAAAGAAUAACUCAAUUUCAUGUUUCUUUUAACUUUUCAACGUGACAUCUUCUUAUAAUGGUUGUGUUCACUUGCAAUGAUAGGUGACCGUUGUGCAAGCACAUGAAGGAACCAAGGAAGUUGCUAAUGAAAUUUCAAAGAACUAGCUAGCAAAUGAUCAUCACAGUCCAAAAACUUUUGUAUUCCUGUGAUUUUAAAUUAUUUUUGUUCUCCUCCUUUUUCGAGUAAAGGAGGAAAAAGAAGGUGAGAGAUUCGAUUUUUUUUAAAGGAAAAAGGAAAAGUAAUAUGGCAUAUUAGAGAAAUUAGGGUUCGUGGUUGGUAUUUGCAGAUGUUUUUGUUUUAUAAGACUAACGCGAACUCAAAAGUAUUGUAAAACACGGAGCAUGAUAAGAAGGUUAGAAACUCAGUUCAAAUUUGUGCUUGAGUUUAGAGAGUGUCUUAUUCCUCGAACGUGUUGAUCAAUAAAGAAGUUUACACUUCGUGUUGAUUAAGUGGUAAAGGCUUCAGAGCCGGUACUGAUCCAUCGUUGAUGUAGGAUUAAUUGUUUUCUUUCUUUUGUCCGGCACAAACCAAGAAAUGGCCUCUCCAAUGCAGAAAUGGUCGCUAGGGGUCAGGCGAAAAUGAUAAUAUAUAUCAUUGUUUUGUAUAAGAAUUAGAGGGUUAAACGAAAAAUAAACACACAUAUGGUAAGAGAUAACUUGGUACGUAAUUUCCACGACUUACCCAAGAGUUAGGCCAUCCACUGCCACUAGACCACCACGGCCAGGUCGAAUUGCUGCUUGUUGCACCACCAGGGGCCAUUGCGCUGGCUUCUUUGCACUGAUCACACAACAAAUGGCCUCUUUAGCGAGGAACGUGUUAGCAGUAAAAGUAGGAAAUUCGUCGGAUAAGAAUUUUGCCGAUUCCUUUCUCGCUAGGUUGUCAAUGGCUCGAUAUAGGACCAAUGUGAAGUCUAGGCCGAGGCACUUUUUGAUAAAAAAUUCUACGCCGAGGAAAAUAUUUUUAUCAUAAAGUAAUCGGUAGUGACGAGACAAAUCUUUCUCGGCAUAUAAUUUUUUGUCAGAUCUUUGGGAAUUAUGUUGUGUUUUACAUGACUACAUCGUUAUUAAACAUGGAAAAUGACACUUGGAAAACAAAUUCAAAUUUGUGCUUUAGAAUUUAGAAGACAACAAAAAGUCGUAUUCCUUUCACUUAAUUACGUAAAAUUUGAAGCACGCAAUGAUAGAUUAUUCAAGAAAAAAGAAAAACUUAUAAUUGAUAACCUUCACAUGGUCAGCUUUACACAUUGUGCCUUCACAUUUCAACUUUCCAUCUCGCUACUCUCUCCAUUCUUUUUCAGGUGCUCUGACGUUUAUCGGUUGAUUGGAUAAAUUGUUGCACUAUCUUCUCUUCCAUAUAUGUUGGGUUUUCUCACAUUUAUCGCUAAGAAAAUCAGGUGAGAAAUUGUUUGGCAAACUGUGUGUUGAUCAUAUGUUGGGAUAUCUUGGUGGGAUUCAUGUCCCAAUUGCAGCUUUUGCUCAUAGUCUUUCGGAGCUCCCAAAUUUUCAUUUCUCUUAGAAGUUCUCUUAAUUGAUUUUUUUUUUGUAAUAAUUUUCUACUUCUUGUUAAGGUUUGGCUUCAUAUCCCCUCUAACUUAUUGUAUCUUUACUUUUUUUUCUUCAAUAUAUAUUCAUAAUAAUGUCUUUUUCCUUGAUAGCAAUGCCGAAAUGAAUGUGACAUCAUUGUUUUAAUUAUUAAAAUUAAAAAAUAAAAAAUAAACUGGAGAAGAUGUGAAUUAUUAGUCAGAGAUGCUAGUCGAGUAAAUAGGUUGACUAUCAUAUUCAUGCAUGUAAAUAAAAAUCAUUCGGCCAAACUCUGUUACCAUAGACGGUUUACCAAAAAAAUAAAAAAUAAAAAAAAACUCUGUUACCCUAGACGACUGAUUGGUUGGAACAUUGGAAAUUUCAUACUUAGCCGUAUUUGUGUAGAUUUUCCCUCCCUCUCCAACCAAUUAAAUCUCUCCCAGCUCAACCAAUCAAGAGGGCUCUUGAAAUGUUGCUAUAAUUACUUUAUAUUAAUAUGUAGUAAUUUUCUCGUACAAUUAAACAGAUAAUUUAAAAUGCAAUGUUAAGCAUUAUGCAAAUCCAAAAAUACAAUAUUGUAUUGAUCCAAUAACUAAAAAGUUAUACUAUUGCCUCGUGGUUAGGUUCUUUUUCUUCAACUCACUACAGUUUGGGUUCAAACUAUCCCUCUCCCAUAUAUAGACGGAAUUCAAAGCGGUUCAAAUCAACUAAAUUGUGCUGGUACGAGAGCAUCAUGUUGUGACACCAUGUAAAUUUACUCCACAUCCUUAUCUCUGAUGCUUUCUUCCAUGCCUUAUCUGAGUACACGAUUUAAAAAAUGGUCUAACGAUUAAUAUAUGCUAAUCGUCUUGAGAAGAAUUAAAAAGGAUAAACGCAAAUAGUAUAACAGCGGUGCAGUGUAAAGACCCUAGAGACUGUCGCACAGGAACAUGCCAUAUACAUGACUAUUGACUGAUUCCAAGAAUUCAAGAUGAGGGACAAGGGUUUUCUUCGUCCACAAGCGCGUGGAAAUUUCCAAGCAACUCAAAAAUUUGUCUUUCCUUUCUCCUUUCACUCGGCCUCCUUUUUGCUCGAUCAUUUGGCUAACACAGGCCAUUCCAUAAUCAUCUGCUCUAUAUUUAAUGUUUGAAACCUACGUAACUGAAAAACAACAAAUUAGUACCACAUAGAAACUUGAACUAGCUACUAGCCUUGAGCUAUUCCUAUUUAUUUGGGUAGCUGGUAGUAGCUAGUGUUAUUAGGGUUAGGGUAGAGGGAGGGAGAUCGAGAGACAGAUACAAUGGAGGAUUUACCACCUGGAUUUAGAUUCUCUCCAACAGAGGAAGAGCUGAUUUCGUUUUACCUGCAGAAAAAACUUGAUGGGAGGAGUGAGGACUUGAACCGAGUUGUGGAUCGAAUCAUACCCGUUGUCUACAUUUACGAGUUUAAUCCAUGGGAACUCCCACGUAAUUCAACAUCUCUCUCUCUCUCUCUCUCUCCCUCCCUCCCUCCCCCUUCCCCCUCCCUCCCUCCCUCCCUCUUUAAUUGUUGGAUUUAUGCUAGCUUCGGGCUUGCUUAACUCUAGGAAAAUGUUGGUUUUAGUGUACUGAAUAUACAUUUGAUAAUUUUAACAUGAAAAAUCCAUAUGAUGCAUACUUAAAAUUAUGAGGCCAAUAUGCAAGUCUCAAUCAGAUUUUCCCUCUUUUGAGACAAUUGAUAGACCAAGAAAAACGUGAUAUAUGAAGCUAGCUAAGCUUAAGAUGCAAUUUUAUGAAAGCAUUUAUUUAUACAUGCAUAUGCAGUGCUUCAACUAUUGUAUUUUAUAGUUGGGAAUAUACUUUACAUGUACUUUAAUUAAUUAUGGUUACUAAUUAAACAGAGGCUGCCGGAGAGGCGAUCCAUGGAGAUCCGGAGCAGUGGUUCUUUUUCAUCCCAAGACAAGAAAGUGAAGCUCGAGGAGGGAGACCGAGACGACUCACAACAACUGGGUAUUGGAAAGCAACAGGAUCUCCAAGCACUGUUUACUCUUCCAAUUCCAAUCACUAUCGUGCCAUCGGCCUCAAAAGAACCAUGGUUUUCUAUACUGGCAGAGCUCCCCAUGGAAAGAAAACGGAGUGGAAGAUGAAUGAAUACAAAGCCAUUGAAAUUCAUGCAGAUGAUAAUAAUCAACAAUCAAUGGCCGCCUCCUCAUCAAACCCUAGUACUCCUUCUACUCCCACGGUACGUACGUACUAAUUAAUUUCUUAGCUCAAACUUAACAUCGUUUUUUUUAAUUCACAAAUUCAAUUAUGUGCAACACAAUGAUCUAGGUUUUCUGACGACAUAGUUUGACGAAGAUCUACAUUUAUUGUCUGACGUUUAUGUGUUUGUGUAUAUGUAUAAUAUUCGAGAGAUUACAAGUGAAUGAUUUUGUCCAUCAGCUGCAAGUUGCACCAUAUAUAUUCAAAAAGCAUAUAUGUAUAUGUUCUAGAUUGGGCACACAAGAGGACAUUUAGUUAGUUUGUAGAACGACACCAACAAGGCCUGAACAUGUUAGUGGUACCACAAGGCCGCACAGUUUUUAAGCGACUUCUUUGAUGGCUAACGGCAUUGAGUUUUCAGUGCUGUUGAUUAGCAUCUAAACCAAUUUAAUUAACAAUACUUCAUAAUUCAUAUUAAUUAUUAUGUUGAUAUAUGUUGGCAUGUAUGCAUGCAGUUAAGGCAAGAAUUCAGCUUAUGCCGAGUAUACAAGAAAUCGAAAUGCCUUAGGGCAUUUGACAGGCGACCUCCAGGGAUUGAGAUCACAAGAAACCCUAACUUAAACAUUCAAGCAGCUCCUGCUCAGACUGCAGAUCAUCUGGAUCAGGGUUUGACAACAUCGAAUAGGAACCCUCAGAAUAUGGAAGGGAGAACAAACUCAAGCUCACCGGAGAGUUCAUCCUCAGGAGGACAUGGCUCUCAAUCCUCUCAACCAGAACAAAGUGGGACUUUGCCAAUGGCCGUUGAUAAUGAAGCUAUUUGGGAUUUGGAUCAAAUGAUAAAUUUUUUGCUUUAAGGGGUGGAUAGGAAGAAAGACUAAGGGGUAUUACCCCGUUAUCCAAAAUCCUUAAAUACAAUGUCUAGCUACUAAGAAAAUAAACUAGUGCGCGUGGAAUCAUAAUCACUCAUAUGUACUUAUGUAGGGUUUAAUCGCUCUAAGGUAGAGUUAAUUUGUACUGGAAUUGGGGACGAAAAGCCAAAUUCAAAGGCUAUUGUACUAGACAUGUCCUGAUCACAAACUUAACCUAUGCAUGUAUAUGUAUGUAUGUUAAUUUCCUGAUCACAAGCUGUAACAAACAAUUGGGUUCUUUAUCUGUUGUGCUUUCAUAUGUAUGUAUGUACGUUAAUUUCUUGGACUACUAUUCUGUAUAACCUUGGACGUUUGCAGAAGUGAUAUUAGAAUUUAUCACUUGUAUUGUUAUGCGUAGGUAAUUAAAUUUUUGAGCAUUGUUGUCAUUUGAAGGCUUAUUGAUACAUGUAAUUCACUAUUAACUUUAUGUAUCAACUGCACAAAACUGAUAUUUUUCAAUUAAAAGUUUGGUUCAAAUUUUUUUUGGUUCGAUCAUUUUUGCAUUUCUAGUUUUCCCAUGCAUUCCUCCAUUUUUUCUAACCUUUGAAUUGAUUAAUUUAAAAGAGAUUCAAAGGACAAAAACAAGAGGCGAAGUGCAAAGAAAGAGAAAAUGAGAGUGUAAAAAUCACUACUUUUUUUGUCUAUUGAGCAAUGUGUCAAACUCUUUCAAAAUGGUAUCAGGUGGAAUAUCCUGCGAUCAUAAAUUAAUGUAUGCUAGAUUGACUAGUCAAACUCAUCAGUCAACUAAGUACAUAUUUAUUAGUUAAGCAAACACAAAUCUAGCAACUAAACUUGGUUUACCACAGGUUAUCCUAGUCAGCAACUGCUCAGUUCGUUAUUCAUACUCAUGUAGUGUAAACUUAAGUGCAAACACGCAUCAAAUAACAAGCCAUAGAAUGCAUGUAUCAUAUGCUAAUUUUUUGUACCAUACUUGACCAAUCCCAAAACUACUGAGCACCGGUCAACGUUAUACCGUCAAGGACCAAGAAGAGUUUCCCUCCAACCAUGAUGCCAAUCACAGCGCGACACGUGUCAACAUCAGAAACCAAUCACAACACGACACGUGUCAAUGUCAGAAUGAAACUAAAAACUCUCUUCUAUAAAUAGAGAUCAUUCUCUUACAAUAUUUCUUAAUGUCAUUUGUACUAAAUUAUUCACUUGUACUCACUAAAGGAGAGCUUGAACCUAUGUACUUGUGUAAACCCUUCACAAUUAAUGAGAACUCCUCUACUCAAGGACGUAGCAAGUCUGGGUGAACCACGAACAUCUUGUGUUUGCUUAUCUGUCUCUAUCCAUUUACAUACCUAUCCACACUAGUGACCCGAGCAAUCUAGCGAAGGUCACAAACUUACCACUUUCUGUUGUACCAAAGUCCUCACUGAUUUUGUGCAUCAACACUUGGCGCCGUUUGUGGGAACGACACUUAUUCCCACUCUCUUUAGCUUUGUUAAGGUGGUUUCCACCAUUCCUACACUCUCUUUUGACUAGGCAUCCCUCUCUAACAUGGGGAGCGAAGGAAGUCACAGCACGUAGAAUGACACCUCUCUUGCACUUGGUGCGAGGCAACAAAAGAAGGAAGGAAAGAUGGUUGCUUUUCAAGCUAAAGUCGAUGAGCUAGAAGCUCAGAACAACAAGAUAACAAUGAAGAAUGAGGUCCUCCAGGAGCAGUAUGAGAAACUCUUUGAGACGCUCCACGAAACUAGGCGUAGUCAAACACGCGAGCUCGUUGCCUCUGUGGACAUUAACCAUCAUCUGGGUGCCUCCCAACACGGAGGGUCACCUCCAUUCGACAUAGGUAUCCCUGAUGAAGAGCGAGCUAAUCAUCAAAACAUUGAUCAACAUGAGACUUCUCUCAACCCAGAUGCUUCGACCCGAAGCAGGAGAAAUGGAGGAAGACAUCUCAUUGCAGAAGGGUUAGAAGGAUCAAAAGCCGUUUAUUGUGACUGCCGAGGCUUUCUAAAGUAACGUCGAGAGAAUCCCUUCCACAUAUGUUCGAAGGUUAAUGACCCAAGGGUAUCUGAAAGACUCAGUCUCAUCCCAUGACCUAGGCCAGCUGCCAAUCUAGGGAAGGAACGACAAGUCCCAGAGGAACAUGAAGGUACAUGAGACUCUGAGGUAUUCCGACAGACUCGCCCUAGAAGUCGGUACGGCGAGUCUGAGGAAAAACCACACGCCUUUGCUCAAACUUUCCUACUUCUUAGAGGCGACGAAGACUUACGAAAGAAAAUUCCAGUGGUACAUGACUCAACUCAGGACCCUCUUGUCUUACAACUCCUUGAGGAAGUAAACAAGUUGAAGGCCAAACGUCAGGCCGAGAUACCUGACUGGAACCAACCCAGGCCUGGCCCUCUCACAAGGAGGAUCAUCGACGCCCCCUUCAAGCGAAAACAAAGCAAAAACUUGGUUUAUAACUCUAUACUGGAAGGGAGAACCCAAUUAAACACCCUAACCUCUUUGAGUCCACCAUGGCAUAUCGGAUGCACACCGACGAAGAAUGAUGUUUUCUUUUCCCCUUCACCUUCUCUGGCGGAGCUCUAAAUUGGUAUUGCCGUCUUCCACCUGAGACAGUAGACUCAUUUGAGGAUUUGAGGAAACUGUUUGUCUCUUAACACAUCUUCCAGAUCGAUCGCUUGCAUUACGCAGAUGACUUGUACACUAUUUACCAGAAGCCGGAUGAGUCACUACGAGAGUAUGCCGGCCGCUUCAGCCAUGAGUAUUCUCGCUGCGUUAAGGCAGAUGAUAAAACCGCCCUCAAGGCCUUCACGGCAGGCUUACAUGAUUGUUUCUUCAAGUACAUAAUCAAUGCCAACACUUGGAAGACUUACUCUGAGGUGAUGGCACAGGCUUACAACCACGCUUUCACCGAAGUAAGGACAUACCAAAGGAACCCCCAUAUGAUUAACCCCUAUCAACAAGUGGGAAAUGGAAGUCAAGUUCAACCAAGUGAGAAGAUAUUGGCCAUUCAGACACCUAUUGCAUCAUCUCCUGCCUCAUUUAGCUACUCGCUAAGUCACCAAACGUAUCUGUCUCUUGGUAAGAGGAAGGAUUUUUACUCUCAGGAAGCCUAUUACAACAAGAGGGAUAAAAGUUCGUAUCAAGACAACUAGGGGUGAACGUACCGUCGACUAUUAUGACUAUGGGGCCAAGCCUCACUCUUUCAAAGUGGAGGGCUAGGUACUGAAGGAAAUGUUAUUAUAAGAAGGCAUACACAUUACAAAUGUUUUGACUCUCAACCGCUUGAGAUCUUUUGUCACACAAGCCAUUCGGCAAAUAUUUAAAGAAAAGGGAAUUCAGAUAACUUCUUCUGAGUCCUUUGCGUUCCUAGCACUGAAACACUUGGUCUACGCUGACCUACCCUUAUACUCCAACUCAGAGCUUCAACAUGCGUACUUUGACACAAAGUAUGUGAUACUAAGUGUUACAACCAACAUGGUUCACAUAUCAAAAGCAUGGAUCCCUUCAUGCAUAGCAAAACAUUCAUAAGCAUUACUCAUAUCAAUCAACAUAAACAUCAUACAUUCUAACACAUUCAUACAUAAACAUCAUACAUUCCAACACAUUCAUACAUAAACAUCAUACAUUAUAACACAUCCAUACAUAAGCAAACUGUGCUUUGAAAGGGUUCAACAUACUUUGUGUCAUUCGACACUUGCUACAAUGUGCCUAGACACUUUGCCCUUAUUCUCACUAACCAGGUGAUGAAAUGUAAAGAAGGAACUCAUCUUCAUGCCACCAACCAGGUGAUGAAAUGUACAACUCAUACUCUAAUAUCAUUUGGCAACUUGCCACUAAUGCCACCAACCAAGUGAUGAAAUGUACAACUCGUACUCUCAUUCAUGCCACCAACCAGGUGAUGAAACGUACAACCCGUACUCUAAUAUCAUUUGGCAACUUGCCAUUCAUGUCACCAACCAGGUGACGAAAUGUACAACCCGUACUCUCCUUCAUGCCACAACCAGGUGAUGAAAUGUACAACCGGUACUCUAAUAUCAUUUGGCAACUUACCACUCAUGCCACCUACCAGGUGAAUAAAGAACUUAUCUUCAUGCCACCAACCAGGUGAUGAAAUGUACAACUCGUACUCUCCUUCAUGCCACCAACUAGGUGAUGAAAUAUACAACCCGUACUCUAAUAUCAUUUGGUAACUUGCCAUUCAUGCCACCAACCAGGUGAAGAAGGAACUCAUCCUUGUGCCACAAACCAGGUGAUGAAAUGUGAUGAAAAGUGAUGAAGGAACUCACCUUCGUACCACCAACCAAGUGAUGAAAGUAACUCACCAUUCAUUCCACCUACCAGAAGACGAGUGGUACAACUUGUACAUGUGAACUCCUAGCAUUCACAAAUAAUAAAAAGCCCUCAAGUUUGACAACUCAACUAGGGGAGCACUUAUGCCCAACAAGAGUUAUAGUCACCAACAAAGUCUUAUUGCAAGCCAACAACAACUUCAGUGCAUGGCAUACGAAGAUCAAGCUAUUCAGUCCUCUUGCAUUUGUUUCAGACAUUUUCCCUUUGUAACAAUGCAAACACUACAACUCGUAGAAAGCUUCACACACUCUUGAUCAAGACAAUGUGAAGCAAAACCAAUUUAUGGUGCCAACAAGAGCUUCAUCAAAGGAGUUCAACCACAAUUCUCAAAAGUUUCGCACACUCUUGAUCAAGAGAGUGUGAAGCAAAACCAAUUCAUGGUGCCAACAAGAGCUUCAUCAAAGGAGGGCAACCACAAUUCUUAAAAGCUUCACACACUUUUGAUUAAGAAAAUGUGAAGUAAAACCAAUUUAUGGUGCCAAGAAGAGCUUCAUCAAAGGAGUUCAACCACAAUUCUCAAAAGCUUCACAUACUCUUGAUCAAGACAGUGUGAAGCAAAACUAAUUUAUGGUGCAAACAAGAACUUCAUCAAUAGAGGGCAACCACAAUUCUCAAAAGCUUCGCACACUCUUGAUCAAGACAGUGUGAAGCAAAACCAAUUUAUGGUGCCAACAAGAGCUUCAUCAAAGGAGUUCAACCACAAUUCUCAAAAGCUUCGCACACUCUUGAUCAAGACAGUGUAAAGCAAAACCAAUUUAUGGUGCCAACAAAAGCCUCAUCAAAGGAGUUCAACCAUAAUUCUCAAAAACUUCACACACUCUUAAUCAAGACAGUGUGAAGCAAAACCAAUUUAUGGUGCCAAUAAAAGCUUCAUCAAUGAAGGGCAAUUACAAUUCGUAGAAAGCUUCACACACUCUUGAUCAAGAUUGUUCGAAGCAAAUUCAAUUUAUAUGGUUCAUCCAAACCUUCGACUACUACAAGGUGUGGCUUGCAUCAUAAUCUCUUGCUCAACAGUGUGGAAGCAAAAUUUGUAUAUGUUGUCUCUCCCACAUUUUCAAAUUUCUAAUUUUUCCAAAAAAAAAAGGAAAUUGGGAAAUUCAGCAAAGCUUCACCAAUAAAAGCUUCAUCAAUGGAGGACAACUACAAAUUCUCAAAAGCUUCACACUAUCUUGAUCAAGAUAGUGUGAAGCAAAAUCAAUUCAUGGUACCCAACAAAAGCUUCAACUCCAAAACUUCACCUACAAAGCUUCAUCCACCACAAAAGCUUCACCCACAAAAGCUUCCCCCACCACAAAAGCUUCAUCCACGACAAAAGCUAUACCCAUAAAAGCUUCACCAACAAAAGUUUCACUCACAAAAGCUUCCCCCACCACGAAAGCUUCAUCCACCACAAAAGCUUUUCACCCACAAAAGCUUCCCCCACCACAAAAGCUUCACCCACAAAAGCUUCACCAACAAAAGCUUCCCCCACCACAAAAGCUUCACCAACAAAAGCUUCCCCCACCACAAAAGCUUCACAAAAGCUUCACCCACAAAAGCUUCACUCAUAAAUACUUCACCAACAAAAGCUUCCCCCACCACAAAAGCUUCACCCACCAUAAAUGCUUCACCCAUAAAAGCUUCACCCACCACAAAAGCUUCACCCACAAAAGUUUCACCCAUAAAAGCUUCCCCCACCACAAAAGCUUCACCCACCAUAAAUGCUUCACCCACCACAAAAACUUCACCCACAAAAGUUUCACCCAUAAAAGCUUCCCCCACCACAAAAGCUUCACCCAUAAAAGCUUCACCAACAAAAGUUUCUCUUACCACAAAAGCUUUACCCACCACAAAAGCUUCCCCCACCACAAAAGCUUCCCCCACCACAAAAGCUUCACCCACAAAAGUUUUACCCACCACAAAAGUUUCACCCAUAAAAGCUUCACCAACAAAAGCUUACCUACAAAAGCUUCCCCCACCAUAAAAGCUUCACCCACCACAAAAGCUUCAUCCAUAAAAACUUCACCAACAAAAGCUUCACCCACAAAAGCUUCCCCCACCACAAAAGCUACAAAAGCUUUACCCACAAAAGCUUCCCCCACCACAAAAGCUUCCCCCACAAAAGCUUCACCCAUAAAAGCUUCACCAACAAAAGCUUCACUCAUAAAAGAUUCAUCAACAAAAGCUUCACCCACCACAAAAGCCUCACUCAUAAAAACUUCACCAAUAAAAGUUUCACCCAUCACAAAAUCUUCACCUACAAAAGCUUCACCUACAAAGCUUCAACACAAAAGCUUCACCUACAAAAGCUUCACACUAUCUUGAUCAAUAUAGUGUGAAGCAAAAUCAAUUCAUGAUACCCAACAAAGUUUCAACCUCAAAACUUCACCUAUAAAGUUUAAUAUAUAUAUAUAUAUAUAUAUAUAUAUAUAUAUAUAUAUAUAUAUAUAUAUAUAUACAGAGAGCUUAAGGGGAGGGAUCCCCAUUUUUUGAAAAAAAUGGGGAUUAGGUGUGGGGCCCACUUCACAUCAAAUUUCAACGAUCCGAACCGUCUAUUUUGUUAGUCUCGAUUCAUAGAUCAUCCUUGCAAAAAUUCAAUUCAAUCCGAAACCAUUUGCCUAUUUAAUUAUCAAUAUCAAAUUUCAUAUAUUUUGUUAGUCUCGAUUCAUAGAUCAUCCUUGCAAAAAUUCAAUUCAAUCCGAAACCAUUUGCCUAUUUAAUUAUCAAUAUCAAAUUUCAUAUUUUCUUAUAUAACAAAGUAUUCGUUCAUUUCCUUGAACCCAAUUAGAUGUCUUAAACAUUUCCAAUUUAGCUAAUAUUUUGCAAGGAUGAUCUAUGAAUCGAGACUAACAAAAUAGACGGUUCAGAUCGUUGAAAUUAGAUGUGAAGUGGGCCCCACACCUAAUCCCCAUUUUUUUCAAAAAAUGGGGAUCCCUCCCCUUAAGCUCUGUGUGUGUGUAUAUAUAUAUAUAUUAGGAAAUUCAAAAAUUCAAAAAAUAAAAAAAUAAAAAAAUUGCCUAGGCCUAACAAUUUUCAUAACAAAUAUAUAUGAAUGAGGAGUUUUGGCUACCACUUAGAAAGGAAAAUGGUGAAAUUUUGUUACUUUGGAAACUUGGAUACUAGCAAGACACCUCAUUCGUCAACUCCCUCGAUCGGAUACUUGGGGGACUCCUACCAUAUGCUACUGCACCUUGAUACUCGGAAGUCUCACGACCACUCAGUGAUUUGGAUUUUUUCAAGUCUCCAACCGAGAAGUUUUCCUCACUCAGGAAAUUAAGAGAGCACUACCUCAACCUACAUGUUUCACUCACAAAGCUUCAACAUACAAGCUUCAACAAAAGGAAAAAUUCAAAGAACUUAGUGAAGAAGGCCUAGGUGUAUUUAACGCAAUACGUUGAAAUGAAGUAAAACUUGUUUAUUGAUAUAUUCGAUAAGUUACAAAUAUGUACAUAUACAUGAAUCAAACUAAACAAACAAGAGAGAGCCUUCACAAAUGUUGCUUAGGAGAAGUCUCAGCAAUCGGCAGAGCCCCAGAAAGAUGAGGCACCUGAGGGUGAUUAUUCGGAGUCUCAAUACUAGGCAGAACCCCAGAAGAAGGAGGCACCAAAGGUUGAUCAUUUGGAGCUUCAUUUCGCGGUACAGCCUCAGAAGACGAAGACAAUAAAUGCAUUUGGAACAAACCCACAAACCUCUGAUGAUCAAGUAAAAUCUGACCAUUAGAUUCCUACAGCUGGUUAAGCUUCAUCUUCAUGUUUGUAGCAUAAUCAUGUGCGAGCAUGUGCAACUAUUUAUUCUCAUGCUUGAGCCUUCUGAUAUUCUGUUUGAGAUUUAUCACUUCAGCCGCCAAUGAUUCAACUUGGCGGGUUCGAGCAUAUAGGCGUUGUGCCAUAUUAGAUACAGAACAUGCACACUAAACACUGAGAGCCGUAGAAUCAUUAACAGCCAACUCAUCAGACCGUUUGAAAAGUAGUAUGUUAUCUUUAGGAGUGAGAAGGUUUCUGGCCACCACCGCAGCAGUCAUAUCAUUUUUUAUCACAUAGUCCCCAAUGGUAAGAGGACCAGUAGGGAAUAAGAAUGAUGGGCGCCAUAUGUUGUCUUGAGAUGGCAUAAAUGCCUCUUCACCAAAGUUCAAGUCAAAAUGACGGUUGGAUGGGCUAGACAUUCUCAGAAAUGAUGAAGGAGAAAUGAGGUGUAAUAAAUCUCUUAAGUAAGGGGAAAAUUCCUAUAAGCAAUAACUCUCUGAAUGUACUUCUUACAUAUAAAUGGUGCCCUUAUAAAAGAAAGGGCAAUAGGGCCAUUGGUUAAAAAAUCGAAGAGGCACCACUCUCCGGAUUCCGAAGAGGCACCACUUUCCACACGAAACAUCAGCUCCUCGGGUACCACAGAUAACUUUGCCAAAGAUCUUUGAAAAAGUUUAGACACAUAAAUUUUGAAGAUCCAGCUACUUACUAUUACCCAUAAGGGUAAAGGAACAGCAUCACUGCUUGAUAACUAGAAAGUCCCAAUGUGUGUCAACCUCCGUGCUCCGUGGCAAGGCAGACUGGUAAAAAUGCCCAACCUUUACUCACAUUCGAGAAAACACUCCUAGCAAGAUUGCUUGCUCAAAAAUCGAAGAUGCACCGCUCUCCGAAUCUCGAGAGCCAGACUCCCAACAGGAUUACAUGUUCAAAAAUCGAAGAGGCACAACCCUCCGAAUCUCAAGAACCAGACUCCCAACAUGAUUACUUUCUUAAAAAUCGAAAAGACACUGCUCUCUGAAUCUCAAGAGUCAGACUCCCAAUAGGAUUGCUUUCUCAAAAAUCGAAGAGGCACCGUUAUCUGAAUCUCGAGAGCCAGAUCCUCGACAAGAUUGCUUGUUCGAAAAUCGAAUAGGCACCGCUCUCUGAACUUCGAGAGCCAGAUUUCCUUGGAUAAAGCUUGUCUGCAAUCUUCACACAUAACAUCAACUUUCCAGAUACCACAUACCACUUUUUCAAAGUGCUUUGACAAAGUUAAAUACGUAAAGCUUGCAGCUCCUACUACCUUAUUAUGACCAAGAAGGGUAAAGGAAUAGCACUACUAUUUGUUAUUAGGGAGACUCCUAUAUAUGUCGACCUCCAUCCUUCACAGCCAUGCAGACCGGCAAAUAAAAAAAUGCUCAACUUUUCUUCACAUUCGAAAGGGCAAUCUUAGCAGAGUCUCUCGAAAUACUCAGCUUCUUUUCCCCCCGAUAAUACUUCUGCAAACAAGCCAUACCAAAGCAAGAGUAUCUCAUUUCAUUAAAGUUAAAAGCAAGAGUAUCCCAUAUCAUGCUUUUUCCCUGUCUUUUCCUUUGGCCUUGUUUUUACCUGCAAGACAAGAAGAAAAGAGAGCAAUCAGUCAGCACUUGGAAUCAAGCUUCCAGUCAGGAACUGACUGCCUGGAACCCCUUGCCUGAUUACUUACCUGGCAUUACUCUCGAGUACUGAUUUUCAACAUCUUAUGCUUCCAGAGAAGAUACCACAUCUGCUUGAGGAACAAAUAAGGUAAGUGAGAAAGAUACAAGGAAGCAUGUGGAGACAAGCGUAACAGAACACGUGCCGAUAUAUCCACUACUUUAUCAACAGCAAAAGUAUCCCAUAUCAUUAGGGUCGAACGUACUCUAGAUUUGAUAGACUUGUUUUGACCCUCAAAUUCUUGCGUCGGCCUUAUACUCUGGAGGAAACCAGAAAACCCUCAAGCCCAGUUCAAGAAUAAGCAUGUGGAAAGUUACUUCUUCAAAAGAAAAAGUAUCUCAUAUCAUCUCUUCUCCAUUUGCUUCUCCUUAUCCUUGUUGCUAUUUAUGACACAAGGAGAGGAGAACAAUCAACCGGAAGCUGAAGUCGAACCUCCGAUCCAAGUUGCUUGCUUGGAAGCCUGAUUGCUUACCUUGUCUGUUACCUCAUUCGGCAAAUCUCCUAGCUCGGUGACUUGGGGGACUCCUACUAUAGGGUUUGUAUCGCACUUGACCAAGCCCGAAACUACAAGUAAUCUUCAAGUGAAAUUGAUACAUUACCUUGUGCAUCUUCAUCGGUUAAAGAUACCACCCCUAGAUGAAGGAAAAGUACUUCCAGAAAAGAUGCCAUAUCUACAUAUGAGACAGAUAAGGCAAGUGAAAAUGAUACCACACUUCGGUACUUAGAAGUUUCAUGAUUACUCAAUGGCUUGGAUCUUGCAAGUCCCCAACCAAUGAGCUUCCUUCACUCGGGAACUUAGGGGAGCACUAUUUGUACCAUACUUGACCAGUCUCGAAACUACUGAGCAUCGGUCAACGUUAUACUGUCAAUGACCCAGAAGAGUUUCCCUUCAACCAGGAGACCAAUCACAGCGCGACACAUGUCAACAUUAGAAGCCAAUCAUAACACGACACGUGUCAAUGUCAGAAUGAAACUAGAAACUCUCUUCUAUAAAUAGAGAUCAUAACAACCAGAGAACAAAUGAGAGCUAGCUAUGGUUUUAACAAAAAAACAAACACUUGUUUUUUUUUUCAACUAGCAAGGAUAAUGACACUUGUCAAGCAAAAAAAACGAUAUAAGUAUAUCAAGGUCUAAAAGCUGGCUAUCAACAAAAAGGUGUCAGCAGCAUGAAAUUCACCCUUAUAAAUAGAAGUGGUUCUACAACAUUGAAAAGACCUUCAACUUAAAACACAAAAACAUUAUGCACAAAUCUUGCUCUACGCGAACCUCUCAUACUUUAAGAAAACACUAACUUCCAUUACUUCAUCAACACACCUUCAAUUUGGAUUAAGAACAUUGUGUUGACAACCAGUGACAUCUUCAAUUUGGAUUAACAGCACUGGAGCCGUAGAAACAGGUGACCGAUAAACAUCUUCAGUUUGGAGUAACAACGCUGCUUCAUUUUUGGCUGAUCACUUAUCCAAGUAUUUGUUGGUGAGGAGUCUUUAGUCUUUUUCUUGAAAAAGGUCAUCUUAUUAGCCUUUUUGGCGAAGUGAGGUGUUACUAGGUAAUCAAUGUUCGGCACAUUGAAAGUCUUAUUUGAACUUCACAGUGACUAGUAAACUUGUCUUCAAGCUCUAGAACUCAAAGGCCGAGGCGUCUUUCUUUCUUAGCCAUGAUCGCUCAUACACAAAAAUCAGCAGCGCGUUCGAGAUAGCUACCACAUCCAUCUUACUUGAACUGAGCUAGGUGGCAAGUUGGCAUGCCCGCAUUCACCAGAAGAAUGUAGUUAGCUCAUUAAUGACUUAGUCUCCACGCCAUGUAGGCUAAGUAGUUUUUAGGGUCAACAAUAUGUUCUUUCAGUAUUGGAUAAGUCAGUGUGUGAGAUGAAAAAUAUAAUUGUUUUUCUUAUUUUUAAACGAAUAUAGAGUUGUUAUUAGCACUCUAAAAUAGCGAUUUUGGCCUUCUUAAAUUGCAACUUCUUAUAAGUUUAGAAAUUUUUUUAAAUGCUAUUAAAAAGUUUCUUCUACGUAUUGUCCCUAAAAGAGAUUAUGCAUGUGAAGUUUUUGUAUGUUUAGGAGGUUAACUGCAAUUUUUAAAUGUGAACAUGACGUUGAUUGUUGAUACCUAUAAUCUAUUUUUUGUUGAUAUGUAGUUGAUAUUUGAUAUUAUUCUUGUUAAGUUUUUGUAUGUUGAGGAAGUUAAGUGCGAUUUUUAAAUGUGAACAUAUCGUUGAUUGUUGAUACCUAUAAUAUAUUUUUGUCAAUAUGUAAUUGAUAUUUUAUUUAAAAUUAAAACCCUAAUAUAGAAUGAAUGUAUGCAUGUUUAUCAAUUAUAAGAUUAGUUGAGGAUAAUGCUUGUGUUUCGUCAUGAAAAACCUUAUGGUAAAGUACAAAAAACUACUUCAACUAUUAGUGUCACGACAUUUUCAUACCUCAUGUUUUAAAAUUGACAAUGUCAUACCUCAUCUUUAGAAUUUGGUCCAAUGUCAUACCUCAUCUUACCAUACACGUCCUAAAAAGUUAUCAUGGUUAUCAUUUUACUUUACGUAAAGUAAUGAUUUAAAUGUUAUUCAUGCUCAUGCGAGAGACAUUUUUUCAUCACAUGAGCUACGUGCCUCUAAGAAUGUAUUGCUUUAGUUGUUUUCUUAUUUGCCCAUCCAAAAUUUUAAACUUUGAAAUACUAACACUCAUAUUCUUUACCAUGUAAAUCCUAAAAAGUUGUCAUGUUUUUCGUUUUCACUUUGGUAAGAGAGAGGCUUUUACCUGUUAUUGAUAAGUGCCCCCUAAGAUAUGUACUCUCUCAUACAUAGCAGUGUCUUUACCUGUCUUCUUUAACAUUACCUUCGCAAGCAUGUUAUAUUAACUUCUUUUCUUUAAUAUUACCCUCGCAAGCAUGUUCCUAACCCUUCGAGACUAUGGAUGUUGAAAUGCAUCGAAGUUUCAAAUAAUGAGAAGAUAUGUGACAUUUACUAACAUUUAACAAACAGUAUUGUAUAUAUUUACCAUGACCAUAGUACAACAUAAACUUACACCUUAAUCCAUGUGAUAAGGAGUAAUAUUUUACAAUAUAAAGCUAUCAAUCUCAUUGUUUAUUUGAACCAUCUCUCCAUAAUUGUUUCCUGUACAAAUUUGUGGCUGAUCCUGCAAUUGAAAAACCCAAAUGUGCAGUAAAAACAACCAAGAGAAAACAGAAGCUAAAAGAAAUCACACUAAAAAAAAAAAUCAAUUGAAAUUAAGCAAUCACUGUGCACUUGAUCGACCCUAAGGUGACAUACAAAUGCCAAUUGCCAAAAAAUUUAAGAAACCAUUUUGAAAUUAAGCAAACAUUAUUCUAAUAAGAAAAAAACCUCAAAUGUACAGUAUAAUUGAAAUUAACUCCAUUUGGAGGGAAUUAAAGAAUGCCAAAACCACAAUAACUUCAUAUUACAUUAAACAUUUUGACUAAUAUGUUAUAAGCACAACCAACUCAUCCAUAUUAAGAACCCAACAGAAACAUAAACCAAAUGAUGCAAUCUGCCAAUUAAUUGUUCCGUGCAUCAACUUGUGAACGAAAGGAAAGAUAUGAACAGAAAAUAAAUUCAACAAAACUGGAAAAAUGAAGAGAAGAAAUUCCACUUAUGAAAGGUGGUUAGAAAAAAAAAACCAAAAUCAAUCAAAGUAGAAGAAAUUCCACGACCGACCUGCGUAUUUAUCCUAUACAGCAUUCGUUGUCAAACUCUUUAGUCAAAGCUCUACACAUUGCUUAUAUCUGUGAGAUGAAUACGACAAACAUUUGAGGUUGAAUUAGUGAAUCUCAAAUACACUGGAAAAGAGAAAAUGCAGACCACAUCUUGAUCAACAAAAUUAGAGAAAAUGGCAGAUAAAAAAAUAGAAAGGGAGAUCGAUUAGGUACUCAUGAUUAAAGGAAGAUUAGAAAUUUCAUUAAAAUAAAAAGAAGAAUUGAAAGAAAAAUCAAAUGUAGAAGAAAAUUCCAUUAAUUGAUAAAACACUCACGAUUUGUCAGAUUCUUACAGCCUUACAGGAAGCUUUGCACUAUGCACGUUUUUUGCCUGAAGCAGCAAAAUGCCCACUCCUCACAUCAUGAUCGCCACAAUUUAAAGAAGUCGAAGUAGUACAAAGUCUUGGCAGAACAAAAUUGAAAACAUAAAGCAUAAACCCAAUAAGAGUCAUAAACUAAUGAAGAAAAAAUUUGAAAAUUUUCAAACUACUAACCCUACAAUAUUGUCUCGCCCACACAACACACAUCACAUUUAUCUCCACUGCCUGCACUGAUACAAAUGAUUUGAAACCUAAUGGCAAAAGCACGUUAAAUAAUUGGAAAAUGGAUUAAUAUAAACAAAAACUCCCCAGAGCCAAGAGUUUCCCAACAAUCAUACAUGAAAAUAGAAGGAAAAAUGAAUUUGGUUAAUGGUGGACAACCACUGGAAAGAAUGCAGAGAUCAUGGAGAAUCUGAGAUUGAAAGUUACCUACGAUAAGAAUCAGUUGAUGUAGAGGAAGAGUCUUUGUCAAUAUAUCUACCUGUCUGUUUCUCCCUUCCCAUCGUUGUCUUCUUCUUGAUUUCUGCACGACUACAAAUAAACUACAAAAAUUAAUAUGAAACUAAACUUACCCAAUGAAAUUUGAACACAAUGAAUUACUUCUCCAUUAUAGUUCAUUUCCAAAUCCUACUACUUUGAGAGGAUUUAAAAUACCCCGUUUUCUAAAAAUUUGGAAUCUCUAAUAACUGAAGAAUCACACUAUGCAAAACCCAAGUCGUUUAUUAGGACGAAGAAUCGCAAAAGCCUCAGAAUUUGAAAUCUCAUAUUUCAAUGUAAUUUCUCUAAUUGAAAACCCAACAAUAAUAAUCCAGUCGAAGUUGAUUGUAAAGACAAAAAUCGAAGGAAUUUAGGAAAAAUCACCUGAAAUCUUGUCUAAAUCGAGUGUGGAUGCCGAAGGAACUUAAAACACGAAGAAGAGGGGUCUAUGCGGAAGACAAAAAUGGGUUCGUUUCUUCCGGUGUAUGACGUGUUGUUCACUCUAGAACGUGUAGCAGAUGGCGGUUCCAUCUCCUCUAGUGUUUACAACCGUUGCGGUUCGAUGUGGUGUUCGAGAAUUCUACUCUUUCGUGGAGGGUUUUUUUUUUUUUUUUUUUUUUUUUUCGGAAAGAUAGGACACAAUGCAGUAUUUGUGGGAGGAUUAAUCCAAGGGUCAAAAUGAAUUUGAAGUGCAGGUAUUUUCAUCCCGGUGGUUGUCAAUUGUUAUAGUUAAGAAGGGUGUUUAUAUUAUUAGCAUCGGAUAAUUUUACAUUUUAUAACCAUGAUAACUUUUUAGGACGUGUAUGGUAAGAUGAGGUAUGACAUUGGACCAAAUUCUAAAGAUGAGGUAUGACAUUGUCAAUUUUAAAAGAUGAGGUAUGAAAAUGUCGUGACAUUAAUAGUUGAGAUAGUUUUUUGUACUUUACCCAAAAACUUACUUGUUCCUCUACUUACAAUUAACGAAUUUUUACCAUUCAAACAUAAUUAUUGAAACCGGUCAUUCUCUUGAUCACCUAAAGAUGCAAAAAAAUCAUUCAAUUUGGAUAUCGUUAGUCAUCCAUACGUGUUAAGCCACAAUGAACAAUUUUGGUACCAAGUAGCAUUUUCAUGAUGAAUCGUCCAUUUGUUAUAUGCAUAUGAAUGAAUAUAAGAUCUCCACAUUGAAUAAUUUUUUGCAUGUACAACCUUUAGAUUAUGAUAAAAAGAAUAGUUCUUUAGAUAUAGACCCUUGAAAUUCUUAUUCCCUAAAUAAAAACUCACCUAAUUAUAAACAUCCAAAUAAAAUCCAAAUUUGAAAAAAAUUGCCAAGUAAAAAAGUAAUUGACCUACACACACACACGUCAAAAGUAUAUGGUACUACUAUAAGUUCAAUAUAUAUUCCUAACAUAUGUAGACACACACACACGUCAAAAGUAUAUAUAGUACUACUAUAAGUUCAAUGUGUGUGUAUAUAUAUAUAUAUAUAGAUGUAAUUUACCAAUAUGUACUACUAUACGUUCAAAUAUAUAUAUAUGCACAAUACUAACAUAUAUGUUAAAAAAAUAUUAUAUGUAAUUAGUUUAUCUAUAUGUAAAUUUAUGAUUAGCAAAUAAUAUAUAUUUUGUAGGUAAAUUAAUAAUGAAUCAAAUAACAUUCUUUUAUUUUGUAGGUAACUUAUUUUUCAUAUAUUAUUACAUAUAUUUGACACAUUUUAUUAUUAUAAGACAUAUAUACAAAUAAUAGGUAAAUUAACUUCGAAUCAAAUAACCUUGCUUUAUUUUGUAAGUAAAUUAAUUUUGAAUCAAAUAGCAUUCUUUUGUUAUGUAGGUAUUUUAUUUUGUAUGUAUCAAUAUCAUAUAUAUAUAUAUAUAUAUUGUUUGUACCAUACUUAGUGCCUCCGUAUUUAGAUCUCGUAUAAAUACUCGGGGGACUUAAAUGUAAUUAUGUAAUAAGGGAAGGGGCAAAUAUGUAAUAAGUGAUGAGUCAUUAUUCUAUAAAAGGACCCCUCACUCUCCUAAUUAGGGGAGGCCAAUCUCUUAGGCCAUGGGAAGAGUUCUCUCACCCUUCGAAGCUCUCUCCCUCAUUCCUCUCACCUCUCAGAGAAAUACAAUAUCAGUGUGGAUGUAGCCUAAACCUUGGGGUGAACCACGAUACAUCUUGUAUUAUUUACAUUUCUUUCAGAUUCACGGUCGGAUUUACAUUGUUCCAAGACCCAUCCGGUUUUGUACAUCAACAUUUGGCGCCGUCUGUGGGAAACGACACGAAAAAUUAUGUCGGUUCUCUCUUAAUUUUUCACCUCCGCCGUGAAUCUGUAGAAACCCAAGAACCAACAACCCAACAUCCACACUCAGAGACACACCCAUUCAAUCUACAGAGAGGAAGAAACAAAACAUGGGUUCUCCUGCAGUGUUCGUGCAGCUCUCAAUCCUCCUAUUGAGCUGCGUCACUGUCUUCGGUAAUGUAAUUACCACUUUACUCGCCAUUCUUCCACACCACAGUGUUCAUUAUCUACAUCCAUCCUGAUCUCCUAUUCUCCCUCAAAAGAAGCACCUACAACUUGGACUCCCCUCUCCCUCCAAAGCUCUUCUCUCACCACCCUCUUCACAAUGGAUGAGACUGUUUCCAGAUGGGAUUAGGGAGAAAAAUAGACCUAGAGCCAGGAAGGUGCAGAAGAAUAAAUGGGAAAAAAUGGAGGUGCUCAAAAGAGGCGUUUCCGGAUUCGAAAUACUACGAGAAACACAUGCAUGGAGGGAAUAUUGAGCCCGAUCUGGGCCUGGGGUUUAGCCCCGGACCUGUGACUCUCGUCUCAAACUUCUUUUCCCACGGUGGCGACGACUGCAAGUCAUUCUCCUAACUGCUCGCCAGAGCCGUGAUGUCUCUAUCGCCGAGGGCACCAGGGUUCCCGCAGCUUCUAUGCGGCAGAAAACCCAUUACUCCUACGUCAUCCUUCUGCUCCAACGGCCACAGUAGCAAGAACAAACUCACCUUUAUAAAAAAUUUCGUGGCCUGCCGCACCACCAGCCUCGCCUCCUCCACCCGCGCCACUCUUCCUUCUGUGCUGGAACCUUUUGUCCCCAAAAUCAUGUCCACAGUCACAUUGUUCCAGAGAUUUGGAAACUCCUCAGUGAAAUUCACAGCUUCACAACUCUCAGCUUUCCCCGAUGAGGCGCAGUUGAGAUUCCUGUUACAGAGCUUUGGAAACUCCUCAAUGAGGUGCAGUCGAGAUUCCUAUUGUAGGGGGCUCAUUUUCCUAUCUAAGGGUAGAGCUAGGGGACUUCGUGGCCUUCACUGCAGCAGGCAACAUCCUCCUCGAGUAUGUCAUAGGCAGCGUAGCCGUUGCUCGUUCGUGGACCUCUUACUUCACCACUCUCUGCAACCGUAGCAACACCAAUGAUUUCUGCAUCGUAGCCCAUGAUUUUCCAAAGGACUACAGGUUACAGAGUUGUCUAUGGAUCAUCAGAUCCCCAACAAGGUCGCCGUCUCCUUCCUCCGCCCUGUGGUUCGAUUUUCGCCGGCAUUGAAGGAGUUAAGUGAUGCGUAUGGCACUGGAUGAGGAGAAGCUCACCCGUCGUAACCAUCUCGAUUUCCCGAUUGAGUAGGAGAGGCCGAACCCGGGUCCUUGCAUCUUCUUUACAGGGCUAUGUGAAAUCAUUUUUUUUUAGAGAAAGCAAAAGUGGAAUAAAGGUAAAAUGGAAAGAAAGAAAAUCACUAUUAUGUUUUUUUUUUACAGCUGGAGUACACCAGCUUGUGUUCAAACAGCAGAAAAAAAAGAGGAGGCAUAUAUACCAAAGCUGCUUAUGUCGGUGCAGAUAUUGUCGGCAAGGUUGAAAGAAAUAUUCCUAAGGAUGACCCAAGAAACCCAACUGUGAUAGCUGAUAAUUGCUUGCGCACUUCCUUAACUAAUACGGAAGCGUUGUCUGCCAUCUACCAAAAGAGGAAAGAGGAAAGCACUUAGAUAAGUAUAUUGACCUUUCAUCAUGUAUAUUCCCAUUUUGAAAAACCCAUCCGGAUAACAUGCAAAAGUAUCAAAGUAUGAGAGACCAUGACUGCUGACCAAACCUGCCUUCACGUGAAGUUUUCCUCCAACAACUGCACAUGCUAUCCCACUAUCCAACCAUAUUUGCAGCAGCUUUUCUGAAUGAUGUGAUUUAUUUUUCUUAUCUUUCGGAGACAUCUGUAUAAACCCCAUCAAAUGGUAAUAAAAAAAAAAGGGCAAAGCCCAAAGUAAAUGGGCUGGAAUGUUAUGUGGAGGGCGAAUGCCUAUAAGCCCAAAAUAACACCAACUAAGUGACCAAAAGUACGUCCAGUACUACAAAACAUUAUUCGGCACCCUGCCGUUAUUACCACUAACCAGGUGACCAAAAGUACGUCCAGUACUACAAAAAAUUAUUCGGCACCCCGCCGCUAUUAUCGCCAACUAGGUGAUCAAAAGUAUGCCCAGUACUCCAAAUUAUUCGGCAGCCUACCGCUAUUAUCACCAACCAGGUGAUCAAAAGUACGCCUAGUAUUUCAAAUUAUACAUGAGCAUUACUCAUGUCAAUCAUACAUAAACAUUCAUGAGCAUUACUCAUGUCAAUCAUACAUAAACAUUCAUGAGCAUCACUCAUAUCAAUCAUACAUAAAUAUUCAUGAGCAUCACUCAUGUCAACAUUCAUGAACAUCACUCAUGUCAACAUUCAUGAGCAUCACUCAUGUCAACAUCCAUGAGCAUCACUCAUGUCAACAUCCAUGAGCAUCACUCAUGUCAAUCAACAUAAACAUUCAUGAGCAUCACUCAUGUCAAUCAGCUUAAAAAGCUUCAUUUCCAAAGCUUCAGCUUCGAAAGCUUCAUUUACAAAAGCUCUAGCUUCAAAAGCUUCAUUUACAGAGCUCUAGCUUCAUUACUCAUGUCAAUCAUACAUAAACAUUCAUGAGCAUUACUCAUGUCAAUCAUACAUAAACAUUCAUGAGCAUGUCAAUCAUACAUAAACAUUCAUGAGCAUCACUCAUAUCAAUCAUACAUAAACAUUCAUGAGCAUCACUCAUGUCAACAUUCAUGAGCAUCACUCAUGUCAACAUCCAUGAGCAUCACUCAUGUCAACAUCCAUGAGCAUCACUCAUGUCAAUCAACAUAAACAUUCAUGAGCAUCACUCAUGUCAAUCAGCUUAAAAAGCUUCAUUUCCAAAGCUUCAGCUUCGAAAGCUUCAUUUACAAAAGCUCUAGCUUCAAAAGCUUCAUUUACAGAGCUCUAGCUUCAAAAGCUUAAUUGAAAAAAGAUCUAGCUUCAAAAGCUUCAUUUAUAGAGCUCCAGCUUCAAAGCUACAAAGCUUCAGUGCAGGAUAUACAAAUACCGCCUCCGAACAACUGCCACUUCGGCCCAUACAUGGAUUCAAUUUGAAGUUUCCAGCUAACAGACUCUAUUGACUGAAGACUUGGGGGACUACAUUAUGUACCAUAUAUUGGGCCUCAACUGGGCCUCAUGAAAAAUACUUGGGGGACUUAGCCCAUUAUUUACGUACUGAGGAGCGAGCCAUUAUUCUAUAAAAGGGAUUCCCUCACCAUUAUUAGAGAGCAUCGCCGCCUGCUGAGCAACCGCCUCGUCGCGAGCAUCAACUCUUAGCCCAUCACUUAUAUAUUGAGGAGCGAGCCCUUAUUCUAUAAAGGGGACUCCCUCACCUUCAAUGUCACAAGCCGAGCCAACCAAGGCAACAUAAGCCACAAGCCGAGCAACCUCGCAACAUGUGCUACUUCUAGUUAAGCAUCAUUUCAGAUUGAGCAUCGCCUCAUAUCGAGUAUCAGUCCUAGACAACAUCUAGUUACUUCGGCCUACACAUGGACUGAAUUUCAAGUCUCCAGCCAAAAGACUCUCUUGACUGAAGACCUGGGGGACUACUGUUUGUACCAUACUUAGGGCCUCCGUAUUUAGAUUUCGUAUAAAUACUCGAGGGACUUAAAUGUAAUUAUCUAAUAAAGAAAGGGACAAAUAUGUGAUAAGUGAAGAGUCCUUAUUCUAUAAAAGGACCAUUCACUCUCCUCAUUAGGGGAGGCCAAUCUCUUAGGCCAUGGGAAUAGUUCUCUCACCCUCAGAAGCUCUCUCCCUCACUCCCCUCACCUCUCAGAGAAAUACAAUAUCAGUGUGGAUGUAGCCUAAACCUUGGGGUGAACCACGAUACAUCUUGUGUUAUUUACAUUUCUUGCAGAUUCAUGGUCGGAUUUACGUUGUUCCAAGACCCCUCCGGUUUUGUGCAUCAACAUAUAUAUAUAUAUAUAUAUGGCACAUUUUAUUAUUAUAUGUAUAUAUAAUAGGUAAAUUAGUAUUAAAUAAAAUAAAUAUUGUUUUAUUAUUUAUAUGACAACCCGUCCCUAAUUUUCUAUGUAAUUUCUCCCUGAGUAUGUGAAUUGACAUUUAUGCCCUUGUUGGCAAGUGAUGUAGACGUGUUUAUUUGUUCUUAAAUUAUUUUUUUCCCUUAUCAUAAUUAAUUAGUAUUCGUUGAUACGAUCGCAUGAACGUGAGUUGGACCCGAAUUGGAUUCGUAACGAAAAAGUUACGUUACGUUAAAGUAUGUAUUUGACAAGUAAAAUUGUACACGAGCAUGUGUUAAUUUAUCAAUGUUAGAAACACUGUUUCAGAUAGAUUUUCUGGUUUGCUUUUACUGUAGGAAAUUUGUAAAAGCCCAUCCUUUGUUCUUUUUAAAUUGGACGCAUGCCUUCCUCUUUCACCCACCAAUCAAAUAUGUCCCUCACACCCUUCACCCAAUCAGUUUCUCUCCCUUUCUCUCUUUGCCCAAUUAGAAAAGUCAUACUCUCUCUCUCUCUUCUCUCUCCCUUACCGAAGCUCUCUUUCUCUGGAACAAGGAAGACCAAUGUCAAAACCUUGCAGAUCGAGCUUAAAAACCACACCAUCACACACCUCUCGUCACCACGAACUCAACCAUACCCUCAGAUCACACGUUGGUUGGGUUUUGAGUGGUCAAUGUGGAGCAACUCGAAAGCUUCAACUCUGUGAGUUCUACAUCAACGUGAUCUCGACAUUGUUCCAAGGUUUUGAAGGUUGGGGAAAGCUUCUACACAACUCCAGGGAGACCCUAGAUUAAGUUUGGAGUGAAGUUAAGGCAAGAACCCACAAUUUCAAGGAGUUGAAAUAAGGUCCGAGAGCUUCAAGCUAAUUUCAGACAAUUUCCAUCCACUUUUUGGACUUUCUAAAGGUACAAACUUGUUCUCCUCUUCAUUCCUUUCAUUUCCAUAUAAAGUGCGUUGAAAAUGGUUGAGAAAUGAAGAAGAUAUGAAAUUUUUACCAGAAAUCGACGAUUUUCCCAGUUUCUGGCGAAACCAGACGGCGGCGGACAGCAAGGCUCAUCAGAUAAGACAAGGAAUAUUCUGUCAAAGUUGACGGAAUAUUCUAACAGCGUCAGGUAAUGCCGUUAACUUUUAACGGAAUAUUCCGUCACUUUAACGUAAUAUUCCUAACUGCCGUUAAGUUCUUGUCAGACGCGUGCCUGCAUAUGGCCAUGGGUUGGAUGGCGCGUGAGGGCGCGUCCGGCCUCCAGCCGGUGAGUGGUUUUUACGUGCAGCUCCGUGACUUCGAGUAAAAUAUUUUGGUAUAUUCAAACCUUCCGUUUGAGCAAGUUAUGGGAAGUUUUUCUGUAUAUGUCCUAUUAAUUAAUUGUAAGUAGUUGUUUCGCAUAUAAGGGAGACUUACCCAGAGGACAUACGUGGACAAGGAAGAUUAGGGGGCUACGAUCCUACGACAUACUAGUGAGUGUGCAUUUUGUUUUCGUAUAUAUAUAAACUUAAUAGUUUCCUCAAAUGCUUUUAAACUUUUUUAUGCAUGUUGUGCCAUGAGUUAUAUAAUUUUUCAAAUGGUAUUAUGUGGUUGAGAUUUAUAUAUUUGAUCAUGGCAUAUUCAUAUGCGUUUUACCUACUCAUAAAUAUUAUGCAAUUGUAUAAUGCUAAGUAAUUCUACAGGACGCGCAGGUAAGUAUAGGUGAGAUUGUUAUGUCGUUUGGAAUGUUGAGUUAUGGCAUGCGUAUUUUCAUAUAGUCCAUUCAUCAUUGUUACAUCGGUGUUAAUGCUCACCCCGAGUCAGGGCAAGUCUUUCACGUGAUGUUCACCUCGCACCCCACGCUCGCCUUGGAUCCAAGUAUGUGAUAGUCCUGUCGUAAAGGUCACAUUAGGCGACUCUGACUCGUAGGUGACGCGCAUAGUGCUAGUCUUCACAUGAUCAUAGCACUAGAGCGUAUAUUAUUACACCUAGUCCUGUCAUACAGGUCACAUGAGGGGAAUCCGACUCGUGUGUUAGCCUAGAUAGAUGAGCAAUAGGUGCAGUCGUACAGGUCACAUUAGGUGACUCCAACUUACAUGUUAGUAUAGCUUGUUGAGCACAUGAUUAUAUUCAUAUUGCCAUUGAUAUAUUUUGAUGUGGCAUCUUUAUGAGUUUAUUGCUGGCAUGCAUUUGAUUUCAUACUUACUUAGUAUGAUUUUCUGGAAACUAUACUUGUUUUACAAUGAGGGGUUAGUAUAUUUGGAAAAUAAAUGGAUUUUUAAACUUUUAUUUUUGUGCCCACUCACCCUUCUAUUUUUCGCCCCUCCGGGUCUUAGUUAGUUGAUUUAUCUCUGUGGUGUAUAAGGAAUAGCUGGUGGAUUCUGACAUAUCUCCAUCUUAACGUAGGAACUUAUCUCUAGUUGUGUAAUAAGUACUUCUUUUAUUCGACUGCUUUACCCUUUGUUAUCUAUACUAUGAAUCUUAGUAGUUUAUGGGUUGUAAUCACUACUACGCACCCACUUUAUUAGUUAAUUAAUUUCUAGUUUCGGUUUUAAUUUAUUCACAAUUUUCUUUCAUCACUUGCACUUUUGGUUACAUCACCUUCACGUGACGGCCAGUACACCUUGAUUCCGGUCAGGGUGUGUCAAUGUAGGUAAAUUAUUUUGCUUGUAUUUUGCAUAUAAUGGGUUUGUUAUUAUGUAGGUAAAUUAUUUUCAUGUAUUUUACAUAUAUAGGGUAAAUUAUUAUUUUUUUAACCAAUCUAACAUUUUAAAAUUUUAAUAGUAGGUGCCCUAUUUGAAUCAAAAUGUUUUUUUUUUUGUAGGUAAAUUAUUUUGCAUGAAUUUUACAUAUAUCAGGCAUAUAUAUAUGUAUAUUUGUGUGUGUGAAAUAAUUUACCUACAUUAAUAUGUAAAAUAUAUUUUGAUUGACUUAAUUAAGCAUGUAUAAUAGCAUAUAUUAGAUGUGACAACCCGUCCCUAGUUCUACGAUUUUAUAAAUUUUAACAAUGUGAAUUUACAAAAAUGCCCUAGAGGCAAGAAUUUUGACUUCCAUUGACAAUUGUUUAGAGAGACGUAUGACUCGUUCUUUUGGCGAAUUUAAGUAGUACAUGAAGAUACGAGUGUGUGAACGUAAACAGAGCGUAAUUUGGAGCUAUAACGAAGGAGUAUUAACGUUUAAAGCCGAGGGCUUUUUAGUAAAUGUAACCUUCACUUUAGAAGGCUCCAUAUUUUCUGGAGCAAUCUGAUUGAGACAAGUGGACGGUUGUGAUGAAGAGUGGAGAGAGAGGAAUGGAUGAGAAAAAAGAAAAGGAUCUGGGAGACCAACCAGGAAAUGGAGGAAGGAAAAUAAAUAAGUGACGAAUAGGGGAAGAGGGACAGGGAGAAAGGAAGAAGGUUGUCCAAUGGGAAAAGAAGGAAAUAAGGGAAAGGGAGAGAGUAAGAAGCACCGGAUUCUCCAUCCCCGCCUGUUUCUCCUUGCGUUCUAACUGCAACCCGACGGGUUACAUGGUUUCUGAAGGAAAUAGUUGAAUUUUUCGACGAAUUGGGGUGGCCGUCGACCGCCACUUGACCUCCAUAGGCUAAAAUGGGUGCCCCGAUUCCAUAUUAGACAUCCAAUUAAAGAGUGGUUAUAUUUCCGUUAAGGGCCGCCACUUGGUUAUUAAAUGAUUCGACGAUCGGACCAUUGGAUCGUCACCAAACUUUAAUACGUAAUAAUACACAAUAUUUAAGGAUAUUAAGAAUUGACGGAUUGGGAAUUUGAUGUACGGAUCUUUCCGGAUGGGUUUUCUAAGUUUGUCAAUCUAAAUAUUGACCGCCACUUAAUUUUUGCAAUUGGUGGAGAUCCGACCAUCGGAUCAUUCCGAAACUUUAGGAUGUUGUGUUGUUCUAGAAGCUUAUUGAAAUUCUUGGGAAAUUACGGAUCAGAAAUCUGAAGUGCGGAUCUUAUGGAUCGAGUUACGUAGAGUUGUGGACUCUACCGUUGACCUUUGACCGACAGUUGACUUUUGGUCAAUAGGUUACAAAUCAUUCUAGAACAUCCUUGGGGAUGUGUUUUAUGUAAGUUACAUGUUAUAUCGAUAAGAAUUUGAGACAUGAUUUGAUAUUUGUUCUAGGCGACGAUCGUUCGUGACAUCUCGAUAUUCAUGCUAAGGAGUUGUAAUGCGGACUUCAGGUGAGUGGGUUUUUUCUUUUAUAUAGUAUAUACAUAUUUGUUAGUUUCCAUUUAUAAAUUGAAAGAGAAUUUACUACGUAUGCCUAACUUAGACUAAUGAUGAUAAGAAUUAGCAACUAAUGGAAAAUUACGAAGUGAUCAUAAAUCCUACGGGAUGCACAUGUAUGCGUAUGUUUAUUAAUGUCAUGAUUAUACCUACGGCUAUGAAUACAUUUGAGUUAUCGAAUAAGUAUCAAUUUUACCGGAUGACACAUUUUUGUGCAAGGCAUCAAUUAAGCGGUUUAACAUAAGGUAUGAAUGGUGGUAUGCUGCUUGCCCUACAUGUGCCAAACAAAUGUACAAGGAUCCAACGAGUGGUCAAUUGAUCUGUCAAAAGCAUCCAAAUCAAAUUCCAACUCCUUGGCAAUACUUCAAAUACUGUAUCAGUUCUAUUGAUCAAUCGUUGUCUCACACCGUUCUUAGAUUAAAACUUAUACUUUAUUUAGUUUUUACAUAUUUUUAAUUAAUAGUUCAUCACUCUUUAGAACAACACUAUCAAGGUUUAGCCAAUGAAUCAUAAAAUUUGUAUGAUGCAAUAAAAUCAUCGUUUUAAUAUUCUGACUACAAGAUGAUCUAAAAACUUAAUUAUAUUUGAAAAGCUCCUUUAUACAGCCAUACUUUUAUUUUUCAAGCCAAUGAUAUUAACAUUAAGCUAUAACAUAGAAAAAUAUAUAAAAAUGUAGUUUUCAACUUAUUAGACUAUUUAGGUUUUGUAAUCAAUGUUUUUUGUGUUUGAAUGAAUGUACAAAGUGUUCUUGGUCCUUGAAGAUGAAACAAAUGAAAUCAAUGCUCUCAUUAUCGGUAAAUCAGGUGAAAAAGUCUUUGGCGCACCCUACAAAGAUUUGGUUUUCAAUCAAAGAUCAGCAUACCAAAAGCAAUUGCCAAGCAAGUUUCUCAGACUUAUAGGCCAAAGAAAAAAAAUUUCACCUCCGAUUUGGAACUAGAAGAAAUUUGUUGAAUUCAAAUGAUUUUCUCAUCUACAACGUUUAUGAGGACACUGCAAUCCCACCAACAACUCCACAAUCUACCAGUAGAGAAAUUGCAGUGUCUUCCACAACAGUUUCAUCUUCUACUACACCGCCUGAAACAUCUAGAGAAUCACACAAGAGAAAAAGAGGAGAGCCCUUUUUACAUGAGUUAAAAAAAGGUUAUAUUUUGCAGACCAACAUUUUUUUUUCUACGCCUCAGAUUAUUUUCAAUAUGAUCUAAAUUUAUUUUUGCAACACUUUUAAUAUGUUUGGCAUAGUGACACAGAGGAAGUCUCUGAAGCAGAUGUGCAAGAUUUUGAUCAGGUGCCAAUCAAGUUAUUGAAGAAAAAAUCUUCUCCAAUUAGCUCAAAAACAGACCCUCCAUUACAAAAGAAGAACUAGGUAACUUCCCUUUAUUCCCGUUUUUUAUAUGAUGCAACUCUAUUCAUAUACACGCUUUAUUUCAUCUUCGUUGCCAUUUAUAUUUUUUUCCCCUCUACACACUCUCUUAUUUGCAGUCAAUCUUGGAAGGAACAAACUUUUUCUGUUGUACAAAACAAUGUUAUCAUCUGUUGUUCGAAUGAGAACAAUGCUUCUCCACAUUUUUUGCAUGUGAAUAGGCCAUUGUAAGAUCGGUUCCCCAAUUUUUUGUGUGCAAGGACAAUUUAAUGUUUUCAAAUAUUUUAUCUGCAACUACUGAUGUGAAUCAAGAACUAGGAUGACUGCCAAGAGGUAAUAUCAUAUUAACCAUUUAUGUAUGUCAAUGACAAAGUGUUUGCUAAUGUUUUUUUUUUUUUUUUUUUUUGUAUAAAAUGUAUAAAUCUAGACACUGGCAUGUAACAAAUAUUUGCUACAUUAUCUUUGUAUAAAUAGUAUUAGUUUGGAUUUCUAUGCAUUUAUAUUUUUUGUGUACAAGCAUUGUUCAAACCAGAACAGUGCUUCUCCAUAUUUUUUGCAUGUGAAUAGGCCAUUGUAAGAUCAGUUCCCCAAUUUUUUGUGUACAAGGACAAUCUAAUGUUUUCAAAUCUUCUAUCUGCAAUUAUUGAUGUGAAUCAAGAACUAGGAUGACUGCCAAGGGGGAAUAUCUCUGAUUAACCAUUUAUGUAUGUCAAUGACAAAGUGUUUGCUAAUUUUUUUUUUUUUUUUUUUGUAUAAAAUGUAUAAAUCUAGACACUGGCCUGUAAAAAAUAUUCACUACAUUAUCUUUGUGUAAAUAGUAUUAGUUUGGAUUUCUAUGCAUUUAUACUUUUUAGAACAUGUUCUAUAGUUGGAUUUUCGCUCCCGCAACAACGUGCGGGCACAAUUUUCUAGUUUGGACUAAAGACCUGACUUGCUUCUUGUACGAGCCGAGCUCGAGCAAACUUAAAAACAUCCAACUCGAUAUUGAGCUCAAGCUGAUUCCAGUAUUUACUACAAUUAGUUGAUCCGCUCUUGUAACAAAUAUAUAUGACAUUUAUAUUUUAAUUAAUUGUUGUUCAUUUUACUGCCUUUUUUUUUUUUUUUUUUUCCUUCUGAUGGACAACAACUUCAUAUUCAGCAUAAGGCAACUUGCGGAUGAGAGUAAAAAGGGAAACUCUCUCAUAUCUCAUAGAUUGUUUCAAGGUAGAAUCUCAGUAAUUGGUUCUCUUAAUUUGUACUUUUUGUACUUCGGUGACCUUAUUGCAAAUUUGUACUUUUUGCACAUUUUUUUCUCCUAAUUUGUGUUUUUUUUUUUUUUUAGAUGCAUCUCCAUGGCUUUACACAAGAAAGAAAAAACAAAGAUUUAGGGAUUGUAAUUUGAAUCCCGAAUGCAAGUGAUACAUGAAGCUAGUUGCACAUGCAUAGUAUGUGCGCCGGUUGUUACUAUAUAUUUACUUUUCAAUCAUUCAGUACGACAUUAGUUAGUUCCCACCAAUGGAUACCGCACUAAUCAUGCUUAAUGGGAUACGAAUCGAUUUCAAGAUGAAAUUGGAAGUUUUAUCAAUCAAAACUGAACAAAACUUAAACUAAGCAAGUAACCCGAGAGUAUCAUGAAUGCAGAAUGUUGACUGUAUGUAACAAUUCCAGCUCAGUUUCAAUUAUAUGGUUUUAAAUGCUCACCCUUAAAUAAUGGUAUAAUUGCUUAUUGAAUGUAUAUGUGAGAAUCACAAACCAAAUGUAGAUAAUAAAUAUUUGUAGUAGAUAAUUCAACAAAGAAUAUAAAUUUUGGAAUUGCCCUAAUCACCUAAAUUUAAAAAUAGUUUAUUAAAAGAAAAAUAAUUAAACUCCCUAACAAUGUCACCAAAAAACAAAAGAACAAACUCAUUCAUAGUUGAGUGAAGAAACUUGAACAAAAUCAUGGUUAACCAUCAUAAGCAUCAAUGUAAAGCUUAGUUUCAUACCACAUGUUAGGGGCGUAACUACCAUCACAUAAGUGUAAGUCCACCUAUUUUAGAAGAGCAAAGACAAUAAGAAGAUUCUCAAGACAGUGUCAAACACUGAAGCGGAUAUGUGGUGGGCUCUGGAAGCGAGAGAGAGAAAGAGACUUAGUGUUUUCUUUUUGGUCGAAGAAAGGAUUGAGUGUCUAAAGUGAUGCAAUUUUGAGAUAGAGAAAGAGAGUCUGUGAUAGGACAGGAGUGGAAAUGGUUCGGGCCAAGUCUUCGUUUCCCAAAUUUUUAGACCUGCCCUGCCUUGCUAAUUUUGUGGACUCACCCUAUCCUGGUCCAUUCCGUGUUAAAAGUUUUGGGAUCCACCUCGUACCCAUUCCAAACCGCAUGGAUCCGUCUCGAUCCCCAUAUUCAUGACCCGUUUGCCCACCCUAUAGGUAAGCUAAGAAUUACCCUAAAUUAUUUCUACAUAAUAUUACAUUAUUAAAUCACAACAUCAAAUUCACUCUCCUAUUUCUAACACAUACAAAGAAAAAGAAUCGAAGAUACCGUUUUGGACAUAGAUGCGACAUCCUUUAGGCCUACAAAACUUAAACCUCCAAACUCCCAAGAACCAUCGCCCACCACAUCCUUUUUCCCCGAAAGCAACUCCCACCCCCCAACAUUUUUAAGGGCCCGCCCUUCCUUCUCUUUUCUUCUAUUCAAUUUCCACCAAACUCCACAUCCCUCCGCCACAUCGAAACCCAUAAAUCUCCUCAUUUCCCCCCUUUUUUAUUCCCCACCCCCUCACCCAGAAAAAGAAUCUCAACCAUGGACUCCAUCAGCUCCUGCAACCAGCGAUCGCCGUCGUUGGAUCGGUUGCUUGGCCUCUUCUCCUUCUCUCCGCCCUCGUCCGCCGUCGUCGGCGAUGAGCUCAAUGAGGUUAAGGUUUUCUGGACCAUUGAUUUCACUGAGCCCGCUGUCGACGCCCCAAACCCCCGCCUCAGUCUGACUCGCCACGUCAACUCUAGAAUACUCGCGGUCCUUCCGAAACCUGGUCAAUCAGCAUAAGUGUUGUAUCAGAAGCCGACAAUUUCGUUGUCAUCGAAGCUCAUCCCUUCAAUUCCAAGACUUUCGCCGUCCCAAUCGCAAUCCCAGUCGGUUCCAAAUUUGAGAAAGCUCCAGAGCUCAGCCCUGAUGAUGGUGCCGAUCCUGUCCCGAUCGGUGGAGAAGCACUGCAGAAAUGACAGUUUGGUUGAUGUGGUAGACGACGAGGACGGGGUAGAUGAUGAGAUGAUGCCACCGCACGAGCUGGUGGCGAGGGGGUCGGGGGUGUCAGAUAGGACGAUGUUCUCGGUGCUGGAAGAUGUGGGGAUGACGCUUAAAGGUAGGGAUUUGCGUCAGGUUAAGAAUGCGAUUUGGAGCAAGAUAGAGUUUCUUGAUUGAUCGAUCGAGAAUUUUACAAAAACGUCGAGUAUUUUUUGGUAAUUUCGAUUUCUGCUUUUGGUUGGUCAAGAAUUGUGGUGUUUUUAUAAUGCCAAGAUUAAUUGGGGGAAAUUUUUUUAUAUAUUACCAAAUUAAUUUUUUUUUUAUUUUGGAUUAUAGUUCUAUAUUUUGAUGUUGAAUUUGCUUAUGUUUUUGCCAAAUCCAUACAAAUUUAAUUUUAGUCAAUUUUUUUUAUUAACAAAUUUCUUUGGUGAACUUUAAUUUUAGCCAAUUAUUUAAAAAAAAAUUAAAUAGUCAAUUUUCUCUUACAUUAAAUUUUAAAAUUCUUCAUUCAGUUUUUUACUAAUUAAGAUUAAGAGAGAAUUGGCUAUUUAUAGAAAUUUAGGGUAAUUAGAUAUAGAUAUAAUUAGAAUUUAGGAGGAAAUUUGACUAAUUAUAAAACUUAAAGUAGUAAUUUAACUAAUUAUAAAAGUUCACGAUGAAAAUUGUUAGUUCCAUACAAGUUCGGAUAAAAAAUUGUAUGAAAAAUUGUAAAAUAUAACAUUCGAGAGAAUUAGCUAUUUAUAAAAAUUCAGAAGUACUCGAUUAAAUUUUAAGACAAAUGACUAACUAUAAAAGUCUAAUCGGCUAAAACCAAAAUUCAUAGAUAAAAUUAACAAUUCUAUACAAGUUCGGGAUAAAUAUGCCCUCAUCCAAUUCCCUCUUCUAAUAUAAGUAAAUAAUUGGUUGCAUUCUGACAUUAGCCAUAAACUUUAACAACCGUGUUCCUCUCUUUGUGAUUGAAGAGAAGUUUUUCAGUGUGACGGAAACACAAGUGGUACCAUACGUGUUUUUAUAUAAAUGGUGAAAUUUUUUUGGGCUAAUCUCGGUUUACUACCUUGAAGUUUCGUGGUUUUCAACAUUUGGUAUAUGAAGUUUUUUCUAUCCCAGAAUCAUACCUCAAGUCUUAAUUUUGGGACAGUUUCAUACAUACGUUAAGUUUUCCGUUAGAACUUCUGUUAACUGAUAACAUGGCGUCCACGUGGACAAUAACUAAGCACCACGUGUCAAUAUGGGCCCACUUCAAUAUUAAUAAAUUAUAAAAAAUACAAAAAAUAAAAGGAAAACCCACUCGUCUUCUCCCCCAACCUUUUUCCCUUCCUUCUUCCCUCUGUAACCCGCACCCUCUCCACCAGCCUUCCUUCACCACCAGUCUCCCCCAACUUUCCCCCACCUUCCUUCUUCCCUCUGUAAUUUCUUCCCCAUCCGCUUAUCUUUCUAAAAUCCCUACAAGCCUAACCCAUGUGGAUAUUUCUCCUCCUACCACAAUUUCUACCCCAUUCCCCACUCUCUCUCUCAAAUCCCUCUUUGCAACCUGCAAUCUACCGUCUCAUUUAACACACUCAAAUUAUAAUUUGUAAAACCCUAAUUUCUACCCAUAUCUCUCUCCGCUGCUUCAGAAAGGAAAAAAAAAACCUAAUUUCUAUUGGUGAAGGGACGAGAAGAAUCAGGGUUGCCGAAGAUCGAAGUUGAGGAGGCGUAGAUGCAUGUCGCAGGAGUGAAGAAAGGAAAGUGGGGGUUCCUGCACUUCAUAUUGUAGGUUGCCCAGAGAGAAAGGAGAGAAAAAGGGUGGUGAAGGAAAGUGUGGGAGGGGGCUUCACGACGGGGGUUUUGGUCUUCUACUUCUUGUUGCGGGGGUCGUUGGCGACCGAAACGAUGGCAUAGAAAACGGAAGGAAGGGGGUUGGGUACAAGUUGCAAGGGGUUAGGGGAGGUAGAAGACGGGUGAGGUUUUUUUUUUUGUGUUUUUGUAUUUUUUAAUAUUGAAGUGGGCCCAUAUUUGACACGUGGCGCUCAAUUAUUGUCCACGUGGGCACCACAUCAUCAGUUAACGAAAAACUUAACGAAUGUAUUAAACUGUUCUAAAAUUAAGACUUGAGGUAUGACUCUAGGAUGAAAAUAAACUUUAUAUACCAAAUGUUGAAAACCACGAAACUUUAGGGUGGUAAACUAAGAUUAACCCAAAAUUUAAUAUUUAAAUUAUUAACUUUUUAAUACACAUAUCUCACCAUUUAUAUAGUGACACGUAAUGUACAAUCUCGUAUUCCUGUCAUACUGAAAAAUAUUUCGUGAUUGAAGUAGCAAUUUGGCAAUAAUCCUGAGCACUCAUAGGACAAAUUGAUCGAAAUCCAACACUUUACAAACAACAAAUGAAAAUUCAACAACUGCACGAAUCAAGGAACACAAAAAAAGGUUGUUCCCACUUCAAAGUUUAUGCCAAAAGAAACAAUUAAGGGUAAUGACAAAAAACUACCUCAACUAUUGGUGUCACGACACUUUUAUACCUCAUCUUUUAAAAUUGACAAUGUCAUAUCUCAUCUUACAAAUUUGUGCCAAUGUCAGACCUCUGUCAGUUUUUGUGUUAAUUUUUCAGUUAAGUGCUGACAUGGCUAGAGACGGGACCCAUUUUUUAUUAAAAAAUUAAUUAAAUAUUUAAAAACUAAAAAUUAAAAAACUAAAAAAAUAAAAAAAAUGGCCUAAGGGAUCCGGCCUUCCCUUUCCUCCACCCGAACCAACCUUUUUUCUUUUUCUCUUCGACAGCUGCCAAACCCUCCCCCGUCCCCUCAACCUUCCUCCGUCACCCUCUCUCUCUCUUCUCUCUGGGAUACGGUCUCCCUCCUUCGUCCAUCUCCCCACUUGCACUCGUCCUUCCCUCACCACAACCUCUCAAUCCGACCCAUCCCUCCCUUGGUCCCUCCAUACCCAACCUUCCUUCACCACCCCACCAUCGCCUCUCUUCCUCCAUCUUCACCACCCCAUUGAAGAAACCAAAAAAACCAAGCCCACACCCAGAUCCCACACCAAAAAACAAAAAAAAACAAAAAAACAAAAAACCAAACCCACACCUAGAUCCCUUUCCCCUCCUACACACCCAUCACCCUCCUACACACACCCAGAUCCUUUUCCCGUCCUACACACCCAAACCCUCAAUUUCGAUAAUCAAGUUUCAGAAAAUGGACGAGGUUUGAGAAGGUGCAUCGGAAACCCAGAUCCCUUUCUCUCCUCUCUCAUUUCUCUUUCUCUCUUUCUCUCUCCAAAACGCAGACUUACAAGCCAUGGAAUGCACGAAUUCUCUCAUCCCUUACCUCAUCACCUUUCUCUCUCUUCACCUCAUCCUCCUCAUUUUCUCUCCAAUUGCUGCCGCCAAGCUCACGAACCAUCUCGGGCUCGCCAGGUCUAGCUUUCCGUCCGUGCACGUGAAUCAGUUGAUUAGAGCCUUCAAUCUCUUCAUGAGGAAGACAUCAACAUCAUCGACCCUGAUUCCUCGACAUGAACAGGGCUAGCUUGAGGAGUUGUAGGUGAAGCCAUCGUCGGUCUCUUUGGCAUCGAAGAGGGUGGAUGGUGAAGGAAGGUUGGGGGGACGGGUGGGAAGUGUUUCUGGGUUCUGAGAUUUUAAGGAUGCAGGUUACAGCCUUGUAGGGAGAGAAGAGAGAGGCGAGACAAAAAUAGAGAGGAGAGAUAAAGGUUGGGUGGGAGAGAAAGGGAUCUGGGUUUUUGAGGAAGGGGCACCCAAGUUGAUGGGUUUUUUUGGUUUUUUAUUUUUUAUUUUAUAAUAAUUAAUUAAUUUUUUUAAAUAUUUAAUUAAUUUUUUAAUAAAAAAUAGAUCCCGUCUCCAACCACGUUAGAACUUCACUGAAAAAUUAACAAAAAAACUAACUAAGGUUUGACAUUGGCACAAAUUCGUAAGAUAAAGUACGACAUUGUUAAUUUUAAAAGAUGAGGUAUAAAAGUGUCGUGAAACUAAUAAUUACGGUAGUUUUUUGUAAUUUACCCAACAAUUAAUUAAGACAAAUAAUGCAAAUUUUAGUGAGGAACUAGAUAGAUAGUGAUGAAAGGCUAGUCAGACUAGGGCUGGGCAAACGGGUCCUGAACCCGCGGGUAGGGGCGGGUAAUGCGGGUACGGGACGAGUACGGGGCGAGUACAGAUAUUGUAAAUUCAAAAGGGGGCGGGGCGGGGCGGGGCGGGUACAGAAAUGGGAAAAUACGGGCCCCCGGCCCGGACCGUUGAUUCCUACCUUGAUUUCCUACGUUGAUUUCCUACCAUUGAUUUCACCUUCUCUCUCUCUCUCUCUCUUAUUCUUGUCCGAGACUCCCAAGACUCUUAUUCUCAGACUCACUUCCUCAACUUUCCAUUCUCUCGAUCUCUCAUCCUUGAAUCUCCUUCAACCUUCCAACAUGCAAAAUCUCCUUGAAUCUCCUUUAUCGCCGCCACCAUCAUCAUCAGACCUCGAUCUAGGGUUUACACUGAGGCUUCGCCGUCGAUGAGCUAGGGUACUGCGAGGUGGGCCUGAGAAGUAGGGUUUACACUGAGGCGGUGUCGGCGAUGCUUGAAUCCGACGACAAUUGAUCCAUUUCUCUCUCAAUUUGUCUGAUUCGUUCUGUCAGAGUCCUCUCGAGUCCUCCACUCAAUUUGUCAGGACGACGCUCAUCUCUCCACCAUUCCCACCGUUUCCACCAUUGUUCCUAUCUCUCUCGCUCAUCUCUCCUAAUCCCAACUUGAUGUCUCUGUCUCCCGACUCCGGUCGUCGAAGAUGGCGUCGACGAUGACAUGAGGCUCCAGAAUUCAGAUCGGAGAUGCUCCGAGGGACCUAAGGGAUAACAGAGAUAGAAGAUGGACGAUGAUGGCGCGACGACGAUAGCGAGCUCGUCGAUGAUGGUGGGCUCCAGAUCGACGAAGAUGACGCGACAACCACCACCCACCACCCACCACCACUAUCGCCGGCGCGACAACCACCACCCACCACCACUAUCGAGGACAGUAUCAUCCUUGCGAGUUCUGGGUUCUGUUCUGUUUUUUUUUUUUCCUGUUUAUAUGUUGAUUGUUGUUUCUUUUCAAUUUUGAUGUUUUGAUCAUUGUUUGGUGGUUGGUUUUGUCUGUGUGCAUGAUUAAAGGGGUUUGAUUUGUUGUUUUUGCAUCUGGGCUUUCAUUUAUUGCUUGCUGUGCAGCUGUGCUGCUUGUUCUCGUAUGUGGUGGGGAAGACGACCUCAACGAGGUCGUCCCUUCUAUGGCUAAAAGAAAAAAUGGGUACCUGUGGACCCGCCCGAACCGGCCCGUUUUAACCGGGCCGGGUAAUGUCUGGUUCCUAUACAAGAAAAUCCAAUCCCCACCCCGUCCCGGCCCGUUUCGUUUAAGCUCCGGUUCCUACAAACUUAGGUUCGGCCCGGCUCGCCCCGGCCCGUGCCUAGCCCUAAGUCAGACAAAUCCAAAUGCCUCAAAUAAUUGAGUUCAUAAAAAUAAAUUUAAAAAAAGAAAAGAAAAGUAUUUCUCCUCUUUUCACACAUCAAAUUGAAUCAUCACUCUUGCCAAAUCCCACUUCCAAAUUAAAUUGCUAAUUUGAAGGUUUAGUGAACUAAUUACAGCAAUAACAAUAUAUAUAAAUGAUGCAAAGCAAGUCAGACAAAUCCAAAUGCCUCAAAUAAUUGAGUUCAUGAAAAAAGAUUUCCUUUUUUCACACAUCUAAUUGAAUCAUCACUCUUGCCAAAUCCCACUUCAAACUCAAACAAGUUCAUAAAAAAAAAUUGCAAAAAAAACCCAAAUAGGAUUCAAAUUUAAAAUGUUACCCACCCAAGAUCGAGACAUUUACAAAUUAACAGUUCACCAAAUGGUCCAGAAGCACCCCAAUUGACUGAAACACCCAGAAUCAAAUAGCAUGGAAACUAUCUGCCUUAGGGUUUCAAGAAAAAUGGGGAAAAAGAGCUCCAAAACCCAAAAGGAAAACAGAGCAAUGCCUCAGAAAACCCAGGUGGGAGGAGAGGAGGGUUUCAGAAGGAAAACCCUAAAGAGACCCUCCCCGAUGGAGUUUUUCACUAUUGCGCAGCUAUGACUCAAAACGCUUCCAUGGGUAAAAAGGGGAGACGAUCUUAAGGGCCACGCUUAACAAGAACAAACAAAUAUUGCAGAACAAGCAUUUAGAUUAAAAGUUGCAGAAUUUGAAUGGAAGAAACCAGAAAACCCAAAUGCCCA